UCUGAGUAUUGUUUAUGGAAUCUAUGGUAAUACAGCAUUCUUGGUUUGUUUGUCUUUUUCUUUUUUUGCUUGCAAGUGUUCUGUAAUUUGAUUGCGGGUUGGGGAAAGGUGGUUCUGCCGUUCUGUUUGGGUGCUGAGAAAGUGCAGGAAAAGUUGUGUGUUUUUUUUUAAUUAUCUUGAUUUCAUUUUGUGUAAUAUAGCUAUAUUUUGGAAUACCAUCAAAUACAUUCAUUUAAUUUCAUUAUUUAAUCUAAAGUUAUGUAACUCUAUCUGUUUUUUCUUUUGUAAAUUGAAACAAAAAAUUAUGAAAAAAUUGUCUCUUUUUUUUUUUUUUGUCUUUUUGUAAAGAUUGCUGAAUGAAUUGUCUGAUAUUCUGUGACAAAGUUGCAGAAUUUAGGGAGCAAUAUAAAGUACAAAUCUUAUUCCUUUUUAUGCAUUGCAAUGAAAUUUGAAUGAGGAACCUUUCUUCAUCUCUCUGAAUUAGUGUUAUUGAUGGUUGGCGAUCAAUAUUAUUGAGGGGUCAACUCCUUUAAUAGAAGUCUUCCAACUAUAGUCCGCCAGGCACUUGGUCCAGUUCUCAAUAAUCGAAGUUAUUGUCCCUUAGGAGAGUUUUGUCUCCUGUGCUCUACUGAGAGCCUGCCUGCCUGCCGUAAGUGGAUGCCCUGAGUGCUUGGUUCAUAAAGCUAAGAGCACCUCAACCAUAUGUGGGUGCACGGCCACCCAGCAAAGGGACGGUAGUGUCUCGCCCUUAAUAUGGUUUGAACCCUUGGCCUAUAUAGGUCACCUUUUAGGGAAAGGGUACCGCUUGAGCCAGUUGAGGCACUCAUGGCUCUGUGAACUAGACCCUUAGGGCAACUGCUGAGGGCACAUUAGCUCUCGGCAAAGCGGCAAAGCCAUAGAGGCAAAACCUUUCUCAAGGGACAAUACCUUCAAUUGUUGGAGGACCAGUCGACUGUUUGAUGGAUGAAACUUAGAAGACUUCUCCAAAAGGAGUAGACCCCUCAACAAAUAUGUUGCCCAAAAUAAUUGAAGGAAUCUACAUUUGGUUGUUGUUUGAUAAUUUCCUCAUUAACAUUAGGGAUAUGCUUUGCAGAGAAUCGAAGAACUGCAAGCAAGUAAAGAAUUAUCCGAGGAAAAGAUGCUCCGGUUGAGCGUGGAAACAGGCGGAUGUUCUGGGUUCCAAUACGUUUUCGAUCUGGAUGACAAAACCAACCAAGAUGACAGGUUUCAUCUCCUCUAUUGCCAUUCUUCAAUUUUCUUUUGGCGAAAACUAUGCAUAAUGCUUUCUCUCAGACUACCAUAACCUUUGUUUCUUGCAUUUGAUUCCAUUUGCAGGGUCUUUGAAAGGGGUGGAGUAAAAUUGAUAGUUGAUAACAUAUCCUAUGAUUUUGUAAAAGGAGCAACAGUCGAUUACAUUGAGGAGUUAAUUCGUUCGGCAUUCCUCGUAAGCCAUCUUUGUUUGAUAUAUAAACAUAUCUCUGAUUUAAGUCAUAGAAUGUUAACCAUCAAAAUAUAUUGCAGCUUUAUGUUGUUAUGCACUCCUGAUGUUUUAGCUCAUUACAGUGGAUUACUAGUACUGUGCUAGUAAGAUGAUAGGGUGAGUGUGGGAUGCGGAUAUGCGUCCCGGGCACUAGUAAACUCAAAUUUUUUAAGGUUUCCCAUUAUAUGUUAGACAUGGGUGAAUAUAUACAUGCAUGCUUCCAAGCUAUGUUAAACCGAUCUCUUCAUUUCAUUAAAAUACUUAUCUAGUAUCUGUGUCCAACACAUAUUUGUCAAUGGAUAUAUACAUGCAUCCAAAACUUGAAAAGAAAAUUCAAUGUAAUCGGAUAUACGUACAUGCAUCCAAUACUUAUUUGUGUGGGCAGUGGGUGAAUUUUGGAAUUUAUUGUGCAGGUAACAACAAACCCAAGUGCAGUUGGAGGGUGCAGUUGUAAAAGUUCAUUCAUGGUCAAACAGUAGCCUGUGAUUUUCAGCUUUGCCAAACCAGUUGGUAAAUCAUAUUUCUACCAUUUUUCUAUAUGGUCGUAACAAAUUAUUUUGAUUCAAAGAUUGUAACAUCAUAAUGUACUGAGGCACUGCUGCUACUGCUUAAUCUGUUAGGAGUAUUGAAUAUCUGCAAAUUUUAGUACUUUUAAAUACUCGAAUCUAUAUAUCACUCAUUUGCACUGACAGUUUUUUAAUCCCAUUUGUAAUAUUAAAAAACUCUACCAUCUACCUAUCAAAAUAUUACUAUCCAAAACAGUAUUCUAGUUCAAGAUAUCCAAAUCUGGUAUAUUUUGGUGAUGCAAUGAGUAGAUCAGUAUACAUUGCAUAUAAUCCACGAUUCUGAAUCAUUCAAUAUUUUCAAAGACAAUCAAUCGACUCAUUGUUAAUAAAGAUGUACGUUCCCCUCCCCCCCCCACCCCCAAAAAAAAAAGUGACAUUUUAUUGCAACAAUGAGCAUUGCUACAUCAUAGAUAUAUGCUCAUACCCAUUCCUCAAAUAAAAACUUCAAAACAUCCACAAAGAGAAAGAAAAGGAUGAGUUCAUUCCUCUGAUUGCCUCUGUCCUAGCACAGAAAUGUCUUCGUAUCGUUUCUGUUGUAUUGCAAACAAAAUCAAAUAUACAAAUUAGUAGACAAACCUCGUAAGCUCGAUUACUGCAGCAAAUAUGAACGAUUUUUGAGGGUGAACUGAAUUAGAUUAGCUAAUGGACACUGGUUAAUCAUUAUGAAAUUGAUAGCCUCUCAACACUUGCAAGAAGAGAAAAUCAUAGCUUUAGAGAAGGCUUGAUUAUAUCACAUUAUUUAAGGGGGGAGGAGAGGACACAAAGAAGCAAAAAUGCUUUGCUUUGCACUAAACUUAACUAUGCACACAACUGAGAGAAGAAAUAAUGUCAAUGCACCCAAGAGAUUGAAAAUGUAGCGUAUAACAAGUUACAUCACCUGAAAUUCGAUAACACCAAUAUAAAGAGCUGCAAUUAUAGAACAGGUGUUGUAGCCUUCUAUGUAAAUGAGAUAUUAUUGCAUUGUAAAGCCAAAAUUUUCCAAGUUCAAUUCUUCCUAGAUCCUUUUUCAAUAAAGCCGAUCACAAAAUAAACGAGAUCAAACAUAUUCCCAAUCCUUUCUCAAUCGCUAGCAAGACUAUGGAAGUGUAAUGAUGUCAUAAUUUUAACAAAAACUGACAAUACCUAAAGAUUACAGAUACUUCACAAAGUCCACCAUGGAAUGUACUUAGUUGUAAAAUACCAUUAAAAAAAAGACCGGUAGGAGUAUUAUAGCCUAUGUUACUAGCACUUAAGAAAGGGUAUCGGAUAUGGGUAUGUGUUCAACAUAGGUAAGUUCAAUUUUUACAAAGUUUUUUGAUAAAUUUGGAGAUCCUUGGAGGAUCAUAUCUCUGCACUCGUAUGAGAAUAGGUGUUGGAUACAGGUGCUUCAAUAAAAAUGAAGAGGCGAAGCAAACAUAGAUAAUAAUUAGAUUGGAAUGAGCAAAUAAAAAAGUAUUGCCGCCGGCAGUCUUAAUUACUACAAAGGUUUAAACAUCUUGACAAACAGAGAAAAGGGGCUAUCGUCUCUUCAAUACAUUCAGAUACAAAUCCCAGUGUGCUUGUGCAAAGUGACAGUGAAAUAAUAACUACCGAAUAUGCAAAUCAGAGUCCAAACAAUCCGCAAAUAAAUAAGCAACUGUGAAGUAAAAUACAAAAUAAAAACUGAUUCUUAGAAUUAGAAAUUUACCCCAACAUUGUUGUAUUCCCAGAGCUUAUGAACUCCAUAAUCCACAGCCUACAGAAGUCAAAUCAAUUACAAUAAAACACAUUAAAAAAUUAAUAGUAAAAUUAAUAGAAAAAAACCGUCACUUACAAUCAAAAAACAAAUAAUCAAUAAAAAUUAACAAUCCCUGACCAAGUAUAUUCCAAUCAGUACGUUAAAAAAAUUAUUUUCCCCUAAAAUCAACAAUAAAAUUCAAUUCGACAAAGUGGAUGAAGGGUGGAAAUAAGAGAGAUUCAAUCGGGAAAACAAAGAGUUAGAACAUACCCGUUCUCCGAGGAAAGCGCCGGCGAUGACAAAUGUGACGUAGACAGAGUUACGGCGCAUGAUGACUCUGUAGAGACCUUCGAAUAGGCCUCCUUGACUUCUUCGAGAAGCGUAGUCCAUGGCGAUUCUUAAGGUAGAGAGAGUGGCUCUUGCUGGGAUCUGCUAUUAGGGUAUGCAGAGAAGAUAAAAAAAAAAAUUGGGGGAAUUUUGUGUUUUGUAACAAAGAAAUUUACAGAAAGGGUUUUCCGGUCGAACCGAAAUGUGUUGAUUUUGUUUAUGGGCCCAAUAGGUCAGUUUUUGGGCCUUCUCUUUGCCAAUGCCCUUUUACCAUUUAAGACUGUUGCUAAUUCACAAGUUUUUUUCGAACGAUUUGAUUAAAUAAAUUAUUAAAAAUAUAUAUUAAAAAUUGGUUCAAUUGUUUUUUAACUCGAUUGAAUCGAUGCAUAUUUAUUCCUAGUUCAAUUGAUCUAAAGGCUUUCUCUGGAUUAGUACUCCAAUUGAUCUGAUUCGGUUCAGAUAAUCACGCUAGUUUAUUUCCUAUUUUUGUAUGUUUUUAAAGAAAUAUGCCCUACAAACUAAUAAAUGCCCUUGUUUGCAAAAUAAGCUCAAUAAAAGGGAAUGACAAGUUGACAAUAACUGGAUUAUAAUUGGAUCACAUAAUUCAACUUAAUAUUAGUUAAAUAUUAGCUAUACUAUUUUCUUACUUAUUCCGCUUUACAUGAAAAAAGUAUCGUAUAACGAAUAUUAAAUAACCACAUAGAAAUAUUUUAUAAGUAGAUUAUGCGAAGUCAUUGCAUAAAAUACACAAAUCCUAACAAUCUCACACUUACUUCAGUGAAGUAAAUAAGUUAUAUAUUGCAUUCCUAUACCUCAACAUGUUUCUAAACACUCUUAGUUACUAAAGUCUCGGUAAACAGAUUCAUAAUAUCGUCCUCAGAUGUGAUUACUUUUAUAGAAUUUGAUAUUUAGUCUUUAUACUUUAAAAGUAAAAAAAAAAAUCAAUUAUCUUACUUUUUCAAAUUUAAAAUCCUAAUCUAAUAAUUAUAGACGUGGUAAUUUCCAUUAAAAUUUGUUAACUUAACGUGUUUAUUUUCCGUCAAUCAUAUAACAUGUCACAUUAAGCAACUUAAUCAGCAUGCCAAUUUGACAAAUUUGCCAAAAGACACUUACGAUUUUAAUGAUUGAAUUGGAAUUUUUAAAUCAAAAGAGUUGGAGGACUUAGUUUCAAAUUUUUUUAAGUGUAAAGACUAAAUCUCAAAUUUUAUCAAUAUAGAAAGACUAACAACAACAUGUUUUAAUCUAUAAAAAAAAAAAAAAACAGUAACAAUCUCAACAAUUUAAUGAAAUAAAUGGUAACAAGACCAGCACAAAAACUUAGUGUUUAGGGGGGCGUUUGGUUAUCUGAAUCUUAAAUUAUGAUCCGCAAUAAUAUUAUAGGAAUGUAACAUUACGGGUGGAAUGUGAGAUUACUUUAUUUUGUUCAUUUGGCUAGAAUGUAAGAUUCAGGUGUCUGGUUGAAGAAGCACAAGAUUACCUAGAAUCACAUUUUACUCAAUUGUUAUUGUUAUAAAAUAUGUUUUUUUUAAACAAGUUUAGCUCAUUUAAUAUUUUUUAGUCUCAAUUUCCAUAAAAUUAUGAUAAUUUAUUACAAUUUAUAUUGUAACAAGUAAAUAUAUUAUAUAGAAAUAAAUUUAUAAAUCCUAAUUACAAUAAUUCAUGAAAAGUGAUUGCAACACUAACCAUAAUUAUGAUUAUAAUCAUAUAUGAUAUCUACUGGUUCACUAUUAAUAAAAAAAUGUUUUUUAAUUAGUUUUGAACUUUAUUUAAGAAAAAAAAGUAAAUGGAUUAGAAUAAAAAAUUGUUUUAUAAAAAAGGACAAAUAUCAAAAUUAUACGUGAAUUUUGAUGCAAUAUGCAAUUUGAUACAUGAAUAUUGAUUUAGUGCAAUUAUAUAGAUGAAAAUUUGUGGUUUAAAUGUAUACAUAAAACUUUAAUUUUGAUUCAAUCAUACGCAUUUAAAGAAAUAAAUACAUUGAUUUAAUUUUAUAGUGGAUAAAUAUAAUUAUAUAAACAUAAAAUGAAGCAAUGUCAAAAUUUACGUUAAAUAAUUUACGAGAAUUGGAGCAAAUUAAGAUUUCAUGUUUAAAAUUAUUCCAAAUUAAAAUUCAUGUAUAAAAUUAUAUAUUAAACUAAAGGUAAUGUAUAAUUUUGAGAUUUAUCUUAUAAGAGACUAAAUUAUAUUAAAUUAAAACAUAAAAGCUAUAUUCUUAAAUUAAGCAAAAUAGUAGGAUGAAAAUCAUAAUUUGACCUUAAAAUAGUUGCCACGAGCACGCCACGGCCCUCCGGUAAUCACGGGUCUGAAGGCUGCGCGCGUGUCAAACACCUGCCUUUUUCUUUUUUCACCGAAAAACCUAAAAGAAAAAAAGAGAGAAGAAGAAAACUUCGAACUUCCGCUUCGCCGAUUCCACACUUUUACUCUCUCAACUUCAAAUCCCUCACUCAAACAAAAAAGGCUCAAAUCGAAUCGAUUUAAACUAAAAGCAUACUUUUUUUUUCUUUGAAUUAUUACUAUUAAUUUGUUUUUCUCAGAUAUUUGAUUGAAAUGGAGUUGUUAGAUGGAAACUUAGAGCUCAAAGAGAUUCAAAAGCUUCAAGGUCAUACCGAUAGGGUUUGGAGCCUCGCCUGGAAUCCCGCCACCGCCGCUGCCGACGUUCCCAAGGUUUUCGCUUCUUGUAGCGGCGAUAAGACCGUUCGAAUCUGGGAAGAGAGCCCCUCUACUCGCUCCUGGGACUGCAAGGUUUACUCUAUUUUUCUCGUUUUUGUUUUUGCUUAAAAAGAAUGCAAAGAAAAAGUAAAAAAAUGAUUUAAGUUAGGUCACUGCAACAUAUAAAUUUUGAAUCUUUGUUGCCUUUUAUAUUUGAAGUUAACAUAAAUAGAAAAAAAAAAUUGAUGAAGUCAUUUGAAGUUUACUGUAAGUCUUUUUUUUUCAAUGAGGAAAAUCUCUAUCUUUUUAAUUCAAAAAAAAAAAAAAAAGAAGUGUCGAAAUAUUAGCUCAAGUGAUGUUAGAGCGCACUCUUUUGCAGGCUGUUUUGGAAGAAACACACACUAGAACCGUCCGAUCCUGUGCUUGGUCACCAUCUGGGAGAUUGUUGGCCACUGCUAGCUUUGAUGCAACCACUGCCAUAUGGGAAAAUGUUGGGGGUGACUUUGAAUGUGUUUCUACUUUGGAGGUAUAUUUUUAUUCUUUUAUUGCUUUCUUUUCAUUUCUUAAGGUUUUUCAGUCUGUUUUAAGCAAAAUUAUAGUUUCAUUGAACUUAUGAGUUAAUGGAAAUGGUUUACCAUGUAGAAGUGGAUUGAGCGUAAACAAUGUAGUGCAUUCAGAGAGAUAUCGAAUAUGCCAUUUAUUAGCAUUUAGUUUAUUUUUCUUUAAUAUCUGGUUCAUAUGGUAAAACAUUGGAAUAAUUUAUUUAUUUGUUUUCUGCGUUUUAUAGGGUCAUGAAAAUGAAGUGAAAAGUGUGUCUUGGAAUGCAUCAGGUUCUCUUCUUGCAACAUGUGGGCGAGAUAAAACUGUUUGGAUUUGGGAAGUGAUGCCAGGGAAUGAAUUUGAGUGUAUUCAAGUUUUGCAAGGUCAUACUCAAGAUGUUAAAAUGGUUGAGUGGCAUCCGACUAUGGAUAUUUUGUUUUCCUGUAGUUACGAUAACACUGUGAAGGUACUGUUUCGGCUAAACUGAGCUCUGUGUCUUAGCAAGAGAAUAGAAAUCCUUGUUCUUUUGCUAAUUCCAUUGUACACCAACAAGAUUGAGAAAUGUAAUGAAGUUGUAAUACUUUUGCUUUUCCUUGUAGGUAUGGUGGUCAGAUGAUGCUGAUGGUGAUUGGAGCUGUGUACAAACUUUAGGUGAAUCUAGCAAGUACUAUGCCUAAAACUCUUCUAUGUUUGCUAUUUCAGCUCAUUUUCUUGUUUAUUAUAUUGCCUGACUUGUACUUGUUCUUUAUAUCAUCCUAUGAAGCAUUGUGAUGAUGGCUUUUAAAUUUUAUAGACCUUGAAGAUUUCUUUUGAAUUGUUUAUGAAUUUAUCAGACUAUUAAGAACUCCUUAUUUCAAUAUCUUGUGGUCAGUGGUCAUUCUUCCACCGUCUGGUCGCUUGCUUUUAAUGCUAAGGGAGACAAAUUGGUGACUUGUAGGUAUGAUAACAAAUUUUUCUUUAUAGCCUGCAGUAACUGGAAUUUUAGUAUUCGCUGAUGGCAUCACAGAAAAUUUACAUUCAAACACACAUGCACGCUCACAAAGUUGCAGAAGAAGCGCUGAAAAUUAUUGCUGAUUUUGCAGUGAUGAUCUUACCAUGAAGAUAUGGGAAGCAGACAUCAUAAGGAUGCAGUCUGGUGAUGGUUAUGCACCCUGGUGAGAAAUAUGCUGCGCCUUCUUUUUUCUAUGUUGAAUUUUUCCAAUUGCUAGCUCUUGGUCGUCAUACCAAAUCUAUCUCUAGGCUCGUUUGUAUAAAUCAGGACAUAGAUGUUUGGUUAAUGUCCUUGAAUCUCGUUUCUCCAUUUGUUUAUGAUGUGUAGACUGGCUAUUUGCAAUAGUUGCUUGCACAAUGGAAAAUCAAUUGAAGAUAAUUUCAUGGCCUGUGAUCUUCCAUGGAUAGCUAUUAAUGCACAUUUUAAUGUCAAGAGACUCAUUUUUGCUGUUUGAAACUUAAGAACAUCAAGUCUUGGCUUGGUAUUACUGCUCCCCUAGCAAAGAAAUAGCAGCCAAAUUAUUGUCGCUAACAUGCAUGAUCUUUGUGAACUGAACAAUGCAUAAAAUAUUUAGUUGAUCAAAAGUAACUUAUUCAGCAUUUGUAUAUGGUAUUUUGGUUCUUUUAUUCUUGUUUAAGACCCUGCGAUGCAUAAAAUAAUGCGAUCCACUUCAAUGGUUGUCCAGGAAUCAUCUGUGCACACUCUCAGGUUAUCAUGAUCGAACCAUCUUUUCAGUUCACUGGUCAAGGUAUUAACUUUUGUUUUAUUGUAAUAGCUAUUUUCUCCUUGGGUUUUCUAGCAUGUAUCCUUUUAUUUUCUCUGUCUAAAUGGUUGAAAGUUCUAAUUACAACUAAACUGCUUCUGUGUUAUUUUUGUUGGGAUACGCUAGUGCUUACCUAUUUGUUCUUUUUCUCUUAAAAAAGAAGAAAUUGGAUGAUACCUGUAUAUACAAAGAAAGAUCUGAAGGGCAGAUUAACUUGAUUUGCAUCAUCAGUAUCAUUUUCUGAUGGCUGAAAAUGUUCUAAAGCUUAAAUGUCCAAGUGACCUGGACAUUAGCUAUAGUCAUGAUCUCAAGGAAAUGGCUCUUGUGCUGAUUAUUAACUCAUCAGCAUGCUUAUACUUUUAGCUUUCUGUAUUCAAGAAUUUAGUAGCAACUUUGUGAGAGAACCUAUGUCAGAUGGAAUCUAAUAGCACUCAGUUUGAAAUUUAUUUAAGUGAUAUAACUACUAUCUGACUGAAGUAGUGAAGUGUGUUCCAUUAAAAAAAUGUAUGUUACUAUUGUAAUUGUUCAGUCUGAUUUUGUUAAAAUGAGGUUGAUUUUGUUGCCUAUCUGGUUCUACUUUAUAAGUGUUAGUUAAUGUCAGAAAACAAGUAGCUCCAGCCCUCUACUUUUGAUAUUUUUUACAAUAUGAAUCUCUUUUUUCUUUCUUUCAAGUUUUUAUCUAAAACUGAUUGUCUGGCUUAUCAUGUUACAGAGAGGCAAUUAUUGCCAGUGGAGCUGCUGAUGAUGCUGUAAGGUUGUUUGUAGAGAGCAAAGAUGGUUCGGUAUGUAAUUCUUUCUGGGGUGAAAUGCAUAACCCUCCUUAACCGACUAACCCAUUAGUCAACCACCAUUUCUCCUUUUAGACCCUGCAGCCAUGUCACUUUAAAAGUUGGCCAAUUAUUAUUUCAUUUCUUGCAUAUAAGAUUAUCCACAUCAUUCCCUGCCGAUGUCAUCAGUAAGUACAUUAAAAGUCUUAAAGAUUCCAAUGAUCUUGUAUUCAAGUUGGGUGCUCCGCCUAUAACCAAUUGGUUUUAGGUUGAAUGCUUAACUUGGUGUUGAAAUCCAAGUUUUGUUAUGUUAAUUGCUUGUGGUCUUAUGUUCAAGUUUAAUCUCUCCACCUAUUGCCAUUGGAUGCUUAACGCAGUAUCAGAGUCCAAAUUUCGUUAUAUUGUUACCCUCUGAGGUUGUUCAUCCUCAUAGAUUGUACAUCUAUAUGAGCUUAUAUUGUUAAGUCCUGGUGUUUUUUUGUGGAUUUCUUGUUGUGUUAAAUAUAUAUUAUCUUAAGCAAAUUCUUAUGCUGUUUAGGUUUUGAAAGUGGCAAAUAUUAAUCAAUUUUUGUGGUUUUACAAUAGAUGAAUGGAUCUUCAUAUCAAUUGCUAUUGAAGAAGGAGAAGGCUCAUGACAUGGAUGUAAAUUCAGUACAAUGGUGCCCUGGGGUAAGAUUCCCUUUCUUGGAAUUUAAUGAGGAUUACUAUAUGUGCUUGCAUUCACAUGCAGUACAUAAAAGCAGAAAUGAAUAUAAUAUGACAAAUACAAAUAGUUUCUUUAGGCAUAGUAGAGUCUAGUGGUUGGCUAAGUUAUUGGUUUCUUUCUGUCUUUACUCGGAGCCGAUAAGAUUGAUUUGCUAGUCUUUGCUUUAACCGGUGACAAUACCCCUUAAAAAGGAUUCAUAAUAAAUGUAGAAAUUGUGGUUUCAUGUCCAUAUCAUUAGCUUUAUACUAUGUUUGGUAGGAAGGAAAAGAUGAUAGAAGAGAAAAGUGAAAACUAUUUUCGUUCGGUAAAUGCGCUUGGAAGGUCUCUCUAUUAUAAGAAUUGGAUCAAUUUAGUCCUUGUACUAUAAAAUAAAAUAAAAUCAAAUGAGGUCAAAUUUCAACAGAGUUAAAUAUUUACGGUAAAAAAAUGUCAUUUGUUGUUUAACAGAGUUAUCUUUUGAAAGCUUCUUAAGCUUCUGCAAAUAAAAUAUUUUGUUCGGUGUUGAACUGUAAAAGGAAAAUAAUAAUUUUCAUGUCAUUUUUUUAACAGUAAUUGUUAACUAUGUUCCAUUUUGCCUUAUUUGAUUCUUUUUAAUAGUACAAGGACUAAAUUGGUCCAUUUAAUAGUAGAGGGAUUAAAUUGUCCUUAUAUUCUACAUUUAGUCCUUCUAAAUCUAGUUCCAAUCAAUUGGACCAUGCAUGACACUUAGCCUUAGCAACCUUAAACUACUUUGUUGAGCUAGAAUUUUCCUAUAAUUUUCACAUUUUCUCCUGAAUUACUGCAUCUCUCUAUUUAUUUUCUCGAGAUUAUUCCUUUGACUUUAGCUAACAUAUUCGGCUUCCUGUGUUGUCGAAAAUAACAGGAGAAACGUCUACUUGCUUCAGCAAGUGAUGAUGGAACCAUAAAGAUAUGGGAGUUGGGAACUUUGCCUUGAUCAAAACUUUGACUUUAGCUAACCUUGGGGAUUUUACUUUUUCUAUGGUUUCAGAAAUUUGUUUUAAGUUGGGUUGUGGCUUUGAGAAAUCAUGAAUUAAAAUAUUAUAUAGAAAACUUAGUUGAAAUAAUUGUCAAGCAGAAGCUUCUGUGUAUAAAUUUUAAGAGCAAAAAUGAAAUUCUUGAUGAGCUUGGAUCCUUACUCUGUUGGUUCCUGUAAUUCUCUAAACUGUAUAUAUAUAUAUUCAUUUUAUAAACAAAAGAAAUGAAAUGAAAGAAAGCACUCAUCAAGGCUCAACUUUGAAAAAUUAUAAAAUUAACAUUAAAUUAUUUGAAAUUUUUUAUUUAAGUUAUUGGAAUUCUAUUUGUACUGCAAAAGUUUUAUUUCCUUUUUCUUUGUACGGUUUAAUUUUUUUUAAUGAUAGAACUUUGUAAAGAAUAUACGAAUCAAAAUUUAAAUAAUUUUUUUUUCUUUGAUCUUUAAUAUUAAUUGUCGAAUUUAAAAUAUAUAAUCUUUACUCAUAAAGGGCAUUGAUAUAUAGUAAAGUUGAAUUAGUCGAAAAAUAAUUUAGUGAUUUAAAUGAAAAUAUAUAAUGCGAAAUUAAAAUAUUGAAGUGUAUGAAAUAUAAUUAGUACAUGGCGAAAAACCAUAUAAUUAAAACCAUUAGAUAAAGAAAUGAAAAGAUAUAUUGAUGAUAACUAUUCAACACCUGUUUUCUAUUCUAACCCCACCAGAACCUGUUCUUACUUCUUCAACCAAAGCUUCACGAGCUAACAUAAUCCCACUAGGCACCAAACAAUCAUCAAACCCAGAGCAAUCAAUCCAAUCCUUCAAAAGUUCUUCUUGACCCCAUAUAUCCGGUAUCCAAACCUUACUUUUUCCCAUUUCAAUCCUAUGCUUCUUCAAUCUCUCUCGUCCAUUAUCUUCUUCCAUUAACUUUUCAACCCCCCUCACCGUUCCUUCUUUAGCAACUUCAUCAACUCUGGCCGAACACCGACCCUUUAACGAGCUUUCCUCGUCAGGCUGCUGAGUUUCAUUAGCUUGAUCUAAAAACUGGGAUGGAUUUUGAUAAUGGGUGGCGGUCAUUUUUGUUGGUUCUAUAUUCAUGUUGAUAAAAAAAAAGACAAUGAAAAACUUCUUUUUUUUGCUUCAAUGGUUGAGCCCUUUCAAGAUUGAAGAUUAUAUAGAAGAUGGAGAGAUUUCAGAAGGGUUUAUUAAGUGUGGGAGAAGGAAUUACAGAAGAAGGUGAUGAUGAAAGAUUCAAAAAGAAUAUAUGGUUUAGAAAACAUUUGGGGUUGGUUUGGUUUGUAUGGUAAGUGAGAAAAGUACGUGUUUUUAUAUGUGCGUGGCUUUUUGUGGUUUUUAAUUGAAAGUUUUGAUAAUAUUAAUAUCCAAAAGAAAAAAUAAACCCAAAACAAAAAAUAGAGAGUUUCUUUUCUUUAUUCAAAGAAAACCAAUGAAUUUGUCUGUGUCUUAGCUCGGUUGAUAUGGAUAUUGUUAUUAAUACAGAAGGGUUCAAGUUUGAGUGCGCUGAAGCACAUUAUCCUCUUAUUUAUGGGUUGGGAGGGACUAUGAAUAGUUCUAAGCAUUGUGUCAGAAAAAAAAUAUGAUCAGAAACUAUAAUUUCAUUUAAGUGGAUCUUUUGUAAAGAUUGUGAGGUUGAUGUGAUGCUUCUUCUUGGAUUGAAAUAGUAACCUUUUAGGUGGAAGCAUAGGUGGAGUAAUGAUAAAUUUUUAAGGGUAAAUUACAUCAGUAGUCAGUCAAAAUGACCACUCAACUAUUUAAUUUUAUCUUUUUUUAUCACCCAACUAUCUUGAGUUUUUGGGUGUUUCUAUUUGUACGUUAGCCAGCUGGUGACUAAAAAAGACAAAAUUAAAUAGUUAAGUGACUGUUUUAUAAUUUUUUAUAGUUGGAUAACAAAAAAAAUACUAAUAAUUGAGUGACUAUUUUGUAACUUUUAAUAAUUGGAUGACCUCUAUUAUAAUUUACCCUUUUUUAAAGAAACCAAUAGACUUGAUUUAAAUCUUUAGUUGACCCUGAUUUUAGAUUCUAUCUUAUUGUAUGAGAACUCUUAGCCUCUAUCCAAAAAGCUUUCCCUAUAAAAAAAACUAUAAAAUUAUAAAUUAAUAUAAUAAUAAAAUUAAAUUUUGAGUCUCUAAAAUUUUAUAAUUCAACUUCCUCUUAAAAAUUUCUAUCUUCAUUAUAAUUAUAAAAAAAAAAUUCAUAAUUAAGCAUUAGAUCAAUAUAUCACUCAAUAACUAACUAUAAUUAAUAAAUCAUAGUAUUUUACAUAAACCAAACUUUCAACUUGCAUUAUUCAAAGGCUUAAAAUUUAAUUGUUGGUAAAAGAAAUAAAGAGUAAUUAUUUCUCAAUUUUUUUUUAAUUUCCUCCUUAAAAAAUAUAACCCAAGCCAAGAAAAAUAUAUACAUCAAACCUAAGUAAAUUAGCAAAAUCAAAAGCCUAAGCUCCAUAAGAAGUUAGUUAGUUAGUGCAUAGUAUGCAAGUAAUAAGUCAUUAUGAAAUCGAAAAACGGUACUUACUAUAGGUUAAAGACAAUAAUUAUUAAAGAGUUUAAAAACACAAUUUUCUAACCGAAUACAAGAAAUGGCUUCCACCCUACAUGCACUCUCAUGCAAUAAGAGGGCUAGGUAUGGUAAUAACCUUGAGGUACGUCCACAAGAACCACGUCACUUUGAUAAACUAUUCUCCUAAGUUAUCAUCACUUAUUCCUUCACUAGCAUAAGCAUCAAAGAGUGUCUCGAAGCAUAAACUCCAACACCUCAUAGAUUUUCUUUUGUCUUGUAAGCAUAAAACUCUUUUACCAGUCGAAAACUAGCUCUUAACCUAUUCUCCUCUCAAUGACAUAAACAUUUGGCAUUCGCUGUAGGAACUAAGCGAAAAGCCUUAGGUCUUACCAUUGAGAGCAACCAUACCGAUAUCUAAACCAACCCUAUCAACAAAGAGAACAACCCUUUGAGCAUUGUUAAUGUCGUCGGAACUAGCCAUAUUGCUCCUAUGAUGCUGAAACCCUUAACGUGCUAUAGGAUCUAGCUUGAACAUUCCCAACUUGUCCACACACAUCAGCUUAGCUCACUAACCCCUCAGCGCUACAUCUACUUCCAUCGGAGUUAGCCACCUCCCACUCUUACUUAUUGUUAUAACCCUUAAUUCCUUAACACCUUACGCAUAUUACCAUCAUUCUAUAUGCUCCCUAUUCAUACUCUUAAUUUCACAAAAUUACCAAAAAUUUCCCUUCAAGCUAAAAAUUAAUUGCGACAUCAACUAGGCACUAGGUUACUUUAUAACAAGUUUCGAACCCAAAGGAGAUGUACUGCUAUACUAGCCUUAGAAAAUAUAACCCAGACCCAGGAAAAUAUGCCUUAAAGCUAAGUAAAUCGGCAAAACACAAAGCCCAAGCUCUAUAAGGUAAGACAACUGCCGUGUAGUAUGCAAGUAAAAAGUUACUGUCAAAUCAACAAAUAGUACCUCCCAUAAGUCAUAAGGCAAGAUCAACAAAAGGCCUACGCGUGUACUCUCAUGCAAUCAACAUCGCAAGAAUGCAAAAAGGCCCUGUUAUAAUCACCUACUUCUUCAUAAAAUUGCUCUUAUUGACCCAAAACCAGCCCUCACCCUACACUCCUCUCAAUGAGGUAAACAAAUUUAUUUCAUGGGGAAAUAUUUGGAAUAGUGACGAUGAAGUUCUUAGACUUUAUAAGUAGAGUUAGGGGUUAACAAGUUUUCUAUAGAGGUAUGGUAAAAUAUUAAAAAAUAAAUAUUUUAAAAAUGAUUAGUAUUUGGUACACUGAUGUGUACUUUUUUUUAUUUCACAAGCAACCCUAAAAAAAUUGUCAUCUGACUUUUUUUUUAAAUUUUACUAUACCCUUAUAAGAUAUUUGUUAACACUCGGAUCCUGCUUGUGAAGUUUAAAAACUCCACUGUUAGUAUACCAAAUAUUUUCUCUUUUAAAAAAAGAGAGACACGUGGCAAGUUUUUGAGGCUGCUUGCGGAAUAAAAAAAUGCACUGUCAGUGUACCAAAUACUAACUCAUAUUUUAUUUUAGGGUUACUAUUUGGUACAUUGGUAGUAAAAAAAUUUUAUUCCACAAACAACCUUAAAAAAUUACCAUGUGCCUUUUUUAAAAAAAAUGUUUAUUUUUUUAAUAUUUUACAAUACCCUUAUAGGACAUUUAGUAACCCAUUGACUUUGCUUGUGAAGUUUAAAAGUUCCGCUAGUAGUGUACAAAAUAUAUAUUUUUUAUUUUAUUAAUAAUAUUUAUUUAUUGCUACCGUUAUUUAUUUUAUAGGACAUUUAGUAACCCCUUGACUUUACUUGUGGAGUUUAAAAGCUCCACUGGUAGUGUACUAAAUAUUUUUUUUCUUUAUUUUAUGUUAUUAAUAAUAUUUAUUUACUGCUAUCGUUAUUUUUAGAUAAAUUAAUUUUGAAGAAAAUAAACACCAUCCCAAUAAAUUACAUUUUAGAGUAAUUUACUUCUAUAAAUUCAAUACAUAUUUUUAUAUUCCUUCAACCCAGAUAACAAUCCUUUUUUUAUCUCAUAAGUUUUGAUAGUCAAAUUUCUUUUAAAAAAAAGUUUAUUUAUAAAUUUAUUGUUGAAUUUCAAAUCGAUGCAUUUAAUUUUCUUUUUAUUAAAUAUUAGAAUUUUCAAAUCUCUUAUAAAAAAAUCCUUGAUUUUUGGGAUAUGGCAUUGGCCAAUCAUGUUGUUGGUUUUGAUUUGAUUAAAUAAAAUAAAAUUUAUAAAUAAAUAAAUUUUAAAAAUUAGUACUAUUAUUCUUUUCAUUUAAUGAGAUUUAGACUUUUUUCUAAAGAUCUUUUUUUCCUUGGUGUUACCUUCUCCUCUUCUUUUGUUCGUGUCCUCACUUUCAUUUCCCUUCAAAAAUAAAAAUAAAAAAAAUCCCAAGUUUCAUUUAUAUGUAUAUUUUUAGUAUAUACGUAAUCUCAUUAUAUAUUCUGAUCAUAUUUACUUUUUGUGACACAAUACCUAAGAACUACUCAGACCCUCUCCCCAGCCCAUAGAUAGGAGGAUAAUGCAGUUCAACGCAUUCGAACCCACAUCCUCCUGCAUUGACAAAAAUACCCAUACCAAUCGAGUUAAGAUUCAAUCGAUUAUAUAAAUAAGUAUUUUAUGACACAAAAUACAAAAUUGACAAUACACUAAUUAAUUUUGUAGAACAAGUCCUUCUACACUUUUUGGGAAAUUAUAUAUGGAGCUUUCUUCAAAAUUUAGCGUACAUUUAUUUUUUUUGGAUUUAUCCAUAAUUUUAAUUUUUUUAUAAUAUUUUAUUUAAAUUAUAUAUGAAAAAUUUUAACAUCUUUGGUAGAAGAUAUUUUUGCCCCUUAAUUUUAAUGUUAAACAAAUUAAUCCUUUUAAAAAAAAUUAAAAUAAUUUAAUUAUUGUCAAUUUAAAAAAUGAGUGGUUAAAGAAUAUUAAUCUUUUUGUCAAUUUUUACUAAUAAAUUUUAUAUAAAAAAUUAUUUCUUUGUCGUAGUUAAAAUUGUAUAAUUAAAUGUUUCAUUUGUUAGAUAAUUGGGUUUAUAUCUGAUAUAUUAUCGAUGUAUAAAUUUAUAUAUUAGUGAAUCAAAUAAACAUUUUUUUGGGUAAAACAUAACACCAAUGUAUUAAUAAUAAAUAUAUUUAUAUUUAAAAACUCAAUAUAUUGUGUUUGGUUACUAAUAUGUAUUUCACUCUUUUCUUUUUCUUUUUCUUUUUAAUUUUUUAACAAUCUCAUUAUAUGUUUUGAUUAUAUCUGCUUUUUUUGACAUAAUAUCUAAAACUAUCCAUAAUCCCUCAUCAACCCAUAAAUAGGAGGAUAAUGCGCUUCAACGCACUUAAACCCAUAUCUUCCUACAUUGACAACAAUACCUAUACGAAUCGAGCUAAGACUCAAUCGACUUUUUUAAUAAAUUUUUUCUUCAAAGCAAGUUGAACUAAGCUUUGGCGGCUUUAUAAUUUUCUUAUAAGCAAUAAAAUUGUGAAUUAUUACAUUUAAUAUUAAGAUUUACGAUAAACAAUAUAUAUUAACAAACAUUUUGUUGGAUAAAAUACGUUAGCGAACAAAUAUAAAUAUAAAUAUUUAUAUUAAAUACAAGAUCUGAAAAAUAAUAUAAACAAAAAUUUAUAUUUAUGUAAAACACCAGAUCUAAAACAAGAAAAAUUAAAUAAAUAUUUAUAUUUAUUUAAAACUUCAAAUUUGAAAAUAAUUAAAUAAACAAGAAUUUUAAAAAUCCAGAAAUGGAAUAAGAGAAUCGAAUUUUACUAGAUGUUGAGGUCUGUUUUCAUAGCUUCAUUAAGACAGAUUCGACCGCUCUUAUGGUACUUGGAGAAACGUUGGUCGAUUUCUCCUAGGAUACAACAACAAAAAUGAUUGCUGUAGUAGUACUUUUGCACUGCUGCGAUCAACAAACAUACCUUGACUUCUUCUAUCACCAAAAUGUUUGAAAAUUUGGAGAGAAAAAAAAAGAAUUUUGUAGAGUGAAAAAGUUUGUUGUGUCUUUGUUAAGAAUUCUACAGUAUUCUUUGGGCUUUUAUAGGCAUUUAGUAUGGAGGAAUUUUGAAAAUUUCUAUGAAUAAAGAUACAAAUAUUCAUUAAAUAAGCCUUUAAAUUAAUUUGAAUAAAAUCAAAUCAAAUUGAAAAUCAAUCUGAUUGGAAUAAAAUCAAAUCAAGAUAUUUGUUUAGUCAUGCAAGUGCACCCCCACCCUGGUAGAUUUGAAUUCGCAACCCCUCCUGCACACGAGAGAUAGCAUUAGUUUAGUCAUUCAAUAACUACUAAGUUGGUUUGCAUAUAUAUGCAAGUUCUACAAUUGAUUCCAAUCAACGUGGGACUAAUGUUUUUCAUUUUUCUCAACAUAAUUUACAAGUAGCUUACUUUGAGUAUCAAUUUUAUAAUUCAACUCUCCACCUUUACCAAUCAAGAAUAUGCCUCAAAUUUUCCAAAAAUAUAUUUUUUCCAGCACAUUUAUUAUAGGAUAUCGUAAGAACACUAGUUAGUAAAACUUAUGUAUAAUAUUAAAAUUAAAAUUAAAAUUAUUAAUUUUUUAAAAUAAAAAUAAAAUUAUAAGUAUAAUCACAAAUGAUAAAUAUCCGAAUAACUAUAAUCAAAAUCAAAUCAGUAUAAUAUAAGAACAAACAAACAACCAAAAUAUAUUCGAACUUAAACCAAAAUAAAAUUUGAUAAAAUCCACUAUUCAAUUUCAAAUUUUCAAACUCAAAACCACAACCAUUGUUUUAUCAAAAACCAAUUAAAUUAAAAUAUAAAAAAAAUUAAAAAUUCUUUUUACAUAUUUUUUGAACCCUAAAAUUAGAGAGAAAAAAGGCAAGAAGUGAUUUUCUUUUGUCACAUAAAAGUGGUAGGGCUUGUUCUCCAUGUGGGUAUGUCCCUUAAUUUUGGACCUAGUCUUGUCUUAUCAAAUAAAAUUAUUCAGAUUUAAUGACUUAUAUAAUCACUUUCAAAACAAUAAUAUUUUAAUAAAUUUUAAAAUUUAAAUAUUUUAAAUUAUAAUUUUUAUUAAAAUCAAUUGGUAUGAGUAAUGCUAUCAAUAUAAAAAAAUAUAGACUUGAGUGCAUUGAAACGCAUUACCUUAAGUUAGAAAAAAAUUAUGAAUAACUCUAACUAUCGUGUAAAAACGAGGGAGUAUAAUCGAAAGUAUUGAAAAAAAAAACCUCAUGUGGGUUACCUUAGGCUAGAAUAAUGAAUCAGGUUGAAACUUGUUCUUCGGGAAAAUUUAGGGAACAAAAACCACCAUUGCCAAUGUUGUGGGCUAUGUUAUGUGACAAUCACAUUUCGUUAUAAGUUGGCCCUUUCCCUGUGAUUAAGAUGGGUCAACUCCCCCUUUUUCUAUGUAGGGUCUGUUUGAUUGCCAGUAAAAUAUUUUCCGUAAAAUGAUUUCUGGAAAAUGUUUUACUUUUCUGUAAAAUGAUUUACUGGAAAAUAUUUUCUGGUGUUUGAUUGAAUCUGUGUAAAAUAUUUUCUGCUGCUUGGCAGAUUUUUUGAAAAUAUUUUUCGGAAAAGUUGUUUUUACAUAUAUUAAUAUAUAUUAAUAAAUUUUUAUAUUUUAAAUUAUUUUUACAUAUAUUGCAAUGAUUUAUUUAUAAUAAUACUUAAUUAUUAAGCUACAAUAUUAAUCGUUAUAAAUUGAAAAAAACUAAUAUCAAAUAAAUUAUUUGUAAUUGUGUUAAAAAAUAUUGAAUAAUUAAAAAAACAAGUUACUGGAAAAUCGAUAAACAGAAACAGUUUUCUACCGGAAAUGAAGGAAGGAAUGAAGGAGGCGAUAGAGAGGAGAGCACGGAAAAUGUCUUACGAAAUUGAAAGGGUAAGACAUUUUCCCUAAAAUGUAACCCAUUUUCCCUUGUUUUGGAGUUCAUUUUCCAAAUGGAAAAUGUUUUCCGCCAAUCAAACGCUGGAAAAGUUGGAAAUGAUUUUCCGGAAAAUCAAUUACGUCAAUCAAACAGACCCUUAUUUUCAGUUGUGGUUGGCUUUAUUAAUAUCAUUAAAAAAAAAGAUAAACUCUAUCAUUAAUCACUAAAUUAUAGAUAAAUUUUAUUUUGAUCAUUGAACUAUUCGAAAGUUUUUAUUUAAUCCACUGGGUUGGUAAGUUUCUUUUUAAGUUCCGCUAGUGAGGUUGAAGCGAUAAUUCAACAAUUGGUACUAUGGAUCAGUACCCAUUGAUGAGUAAAAGAACAUACCUUAGAGCCAAGUUGAUCUGAUGGUCAAUAUUGGAGACCGGAGAAAAAAGAUUGUUUAAAUUUUGGUUCAAAAAUUUCUGAUGUUCAAAGUUAUUUUAUGAAAAAAAAAUUAAACUAUGAAAGAGAAGAGAAAAGAGAGCUUUCGAUAGGUGCUGGUAGUACAGAUAGAGAAAGCCAUAUAACAUUGAUUUUAACAGCCUAGUGACUUAAAUGAAGACUUUUGAAUAGCUCAGUGAUCAAAUUGUAAUUUUUUUUAGUUAAGUGACCAAAACAUAAACAUACCCAUAGUUUAGUGACUAAUAGUGUAGUUCACCAUAAAAAAAAACAAAACUUUUGCUUUUUUGGUAGUUUUUUAGGGAUAAAUCUCAAAAUUAUACUUGAAUUUUGAUUUGUUGUGUAAUUUGACACAUGAAUUUUGAUUUGAUGCAAUUUGCAUGCAUGAAACUUUGAUUGUGGUUCAAAUGUACACAUCAAACUUUAGUUUUGAUUCAAUCAUUCACAUUUAACGAAAUAAAUGUCAAUUUAUUUUUAUAUUCAAUAAAUUGUAAUAAAUAAAACUUAAACUGAUGUUAUAUUAAUAAGAAUUGGAUCGAAUCAAAAUUUCAUGUAUACAAUUACACAAACUCAAAGUUCAUGAGUAAAAUUGCACAUUAAUCAAAGUUCAUGUAUUGUUUUGAGAUUUAUCCAUUUUUUGAUAAGAUUAACGUAUGCUUUCUCUCCUUAUCUUGAUGACUUGCACCUAGUUCGUCACAUAAACCUUUUUUAAUUGAAUUGGUACUCAAAUUUGAAUUACAUCACACUUUAAUACUUUUUUUUUUGUAAUAUUGUUAAAAUAUGAUGAUGUAGCACUGACAACCAAUAAUAUGAUGACUUGUGACAGUUUUGCAUUAUGAUACAUAUGCAUUAAUAAAAAAAAUAAAAUUCUAUUUUUUAAAGAAAUAUAUAUAUUUUUUAAAAUUAUAAAAAUUAUUUCACGUUUAGAAUGAACACAAACAAAUAGAUAUCCAAUUCAAAUAAACCUAUACAUUAUUUUGCGCAAAUUCAUUCCGGAUGUAUUAUUUAGUAAUUUUAUAUAUUUUAAAUUAUUUUAUAAAAUAUCAUGUUGUUAUAUUAUUAUUUUUAAAUUAAAAAAUAUAAGAUAUAUUUAUUUAAAUAAUUUUUAAAUAAAAAAUAAAAAUAUAUAAUACAAUCACAUUUAUUUAAAUAAUUUUUAAAUAAAAAAUAAAAAUAUAUAAUACGAUCAUGUUUAUAUUCAUUCUGGACGUAUUUAGAUUAUUAAGUCAAACUAAAUUUAAAUCAAAUAAAUUUUAAUAUAUUGAUUCAAAUUUAAUUAUAAAAUAUAUAAAUAUAAAAUAUUUUAUUAUUUUUAAAUGAUAAUGUAAAUUUUUUUAAUUGUUGGAGCUAAAUAAGUCCAAAUCUAGAGUUUUCUUUUUUAAAAUUGGUCCUCAACUUGUGGAUCAUAAAUACUUCAAAAUACAAUUAAAUAGAGAAAAUAUUAAAUUUAAUAUUAAGUUUUAAGAUAUUUUGAAAGAGUAAUUAUUUAAUUCACCCAAUUCCACAAACGAGUUGAUGAUAUAUCAAAUAAAUUUUCAUUUUGAAAAUACUAAUUUAUGUUUUUGUAGUUAAGAAAUUAAAAUUGUGAAGAAGAUCCAAAUAUUUUGGUAAUUAUAAAUUUUUUUGGUAAAUUACAAUAACAUGUGAGAAGCCCGAACAAUAAACGCGAAUAACGACUCAAAUCCAGACCACAUUUAGAACAAUAAACAGCCUUAACUAUUGGCUGGGGUUGAAUACUAAUUUUUUGGAAAAGCUAAUGAAGUAUGCUGUGAAAAGUUUUAAAUUUUAAUUCUCCCCCAUGAACUUUCAAAAGCCAUGCACUUUUGCCAAGCUCAUGCCGAGACUAAAGGACUCAAAAUCCUUAGCAAAAAUAAUUCAAAACUUAGCCCAAACUAGACAAUUACUUCAAGGAAAACAACUUCAUUCUCAGCUGAUCUCAUCUGGGUAUCCAUUAUGCACUUUUUUAACCAACCAUCUUCUUAACAUGUACUCAAAAUGUGGUCAAUUAGAUUACUCAGUUAAACUGUUUGAUAAAAUGUCUCAAAGAAACUUAGUUUCUUGGACUGCUAUGGUUACCGGGUUUUCUCAGAAUUUACAUUAUUUUGAAGCCAUAUCUACUUUUUGUGAAAUGAGAAUUGCUGGGGAAAAUCCGACCCAGUUUGCUUUUUCGAGUGUUAUUAAGGCUUGUGCUUCCGUUGGGUUGGUUGAGUUUGGGGAGCAAAUUCAUUGCCUCGCAUUGAAAUUUGGGUUUGGGUCUGAUAUUUUUGUUGUUAGCAAUUUGGUUGACAUGUAUUCAAAGUGUGGAGUUAUGGUUAAUGCUUAUAAUGUUUUCCAAGAAAUGGAGUGUAAAGAUGAGGUCUUGUGGACUGCUUUGAUUGAUGGAUAUGCAAAGAAUGGUCCUUUCGAGGAUGCAUUGUCAGCUUAUAAGAACAUGGUUAAAGAGGGAAUUGGUAUUGAUAAGUUUGUUCUUUGUAGCACUUUAGGUGCUUGUGCAGCAUUAAAGGCUUUAAAUUUUGGGAAAUGUCUCCAUUCAGUUAUGUUGAAGAAGGGAUUUGAGUUGGAGAUUUCAGUGGGAAAUGCUCUUACUGAUAUGUACUCAAAAGUGGGAGAUAUGGAAAGCGCCUCAAAUGUGUUUGGAAUUGACUCUGAUUGUAGAAAUAUUGUGGCUUGUUCUUCAUUGAUUGAUGGAUAUGUUGAAAUGGAUCGAAUAGAGGAUGCUUUAAGUGUUUAUGUUCGGCUCCGGAGGCAAGGAAUUGAACCUAAUGAAUUCACUUUCUCGAGCUUGAUCAAGGCUUGUUCCAGUCAAGCUACACUUGAGCAAGGUACACAGCUUCAUGCUGAAGUGAUUAAAUUCAAUUUUGAUGGUAACCCUUUUGUUUCUUCGGUUCUUGUUGAUAUGUACGGAAAAUGCGGGUUGCUUGAUGACUCUAUUCGAGUAUUUGAUGAGAUUGAAAAUGCCACUGAAUUUGCAUGGAAUUCAAUGUUAAGUGUGUUUGCUCAGCAUGGUUUAGGAAAAGAUGCUAUUCAACUAUUUAACAGGAUGAAGAACGAAGGAGUGGAACCAAAUGCGAUAACAUUUGUCAGUCUUCUAAGAGGCUGUAGUCAUUCUGGUUUAGUGGAGGAAGGGUUAAGCUUUUUUAAAGCUAUGGAGAAGACUUAUGGAGUUAUGCCUAGAGAAGAGCAUUAUUCCUGUGUUAUUGACUUACUUGGUCGUGCCGGACAGCUUAAAGAAGCUGAAGAUUUGAUAAACAAGAUGCCAUUUGAACCAAAUGCUUUUGGAUGGUGUUCUUUCCUUGGAGCUUGCAAAAUCCAUGGUGAUAAAGAAAGAGGUAAACUUGCAGCUGAAAGAUUGAUGCAACUUGAACCUGAAAAUAGUGGAGCUCCUGUUUUGCUUUCAAAUAUUUAUGCUAAGGAGCAACAAUGGGAAGAUGUGAGAACAUUGAGGAAGAUGAUGCAAGAUUUUAAUGUUAAGAAACUACCAGGUUAUAGCUGGGUUGAUGUUGGAAACAAAACCCAUAUUUUUGGUGUUGAAGACUGGUCUCAUCCUCAAAUGAAAGCAAUUUAUGAUAAGCUUAAUGCUCUUUCGGGUCAGAUAAAGGUGGCCGGAUAUGUCCCUUGCACAGAUUCCAUUCCCUUAGAUGUGGAUGUUAGUGUUAAAGAGAAGAUACUUCAACAUCACAGUGAGAGACUUGCCAUUGCAUUUGCACUAAUAAGCAUUCCAAGUGGGAAGCCAAUUAUUGUAAAGAAAAAUUUAAGGGUCUGCUCGGAUUGUCACUCUGCAAUUAAGUACAUAUCAAAGGUGAUUGGAAGAAAAAUUAUUGUCAGGGACAACAGUAGAUUCCAUCAUUUCUCAAAUGGAUUGUGUUCUUGUGGAGAUUUUUGGUAAGGUUUUUGACCUCUUAAAGUUAACAUUAAGGAAAUAUAUAUAUUUCAUCACUUCUUAGAGGUGAACAAUUUUGGAUGCUGGAAAAUCUGCAGAAGAGCUUGAAGGUACAUGCCAUUGCAAAUUCUUUAAACUUCAAACAGUGUGCCUGUCUAUCAUUAAGAAAUGGGAACAUCAUGCAUAUUCCUGUUACAUUUUUCUGUAUUAAUCUGCUUACCGAAGUUUGGUUUCAUGUAUUCUUUAACGGUAUUCGUCUGCAUGUUCCUGUUGUUCUUUGCCACAUUAUAAGCUUACGGAUGCUCGGUUUCAUGUUUUUCUUUGACAGCAUUCUACUGCAUUGCAUUGCCAAUAUGCAAUAUCAAAUUUAAUUAUUCAGUUAACAUUACCACUGAAUAAAACAAAUCGAGUAAACUCAUCUUUACUUAUCAUCAAAUGCACUCUGUACAAGCUAAGUUUUAUUUAAACAUGGGGGGUACUGAAACAAGUUCUAUCCUAAAUUUGUGAAAUUUACACAACUUCUUGAAGGGGGGGAUGUGUAGCUGCUUGCAUUCUAAGGCAACAAACUAUAUAUAGAACCAACUACUAGCAUUCUCUAUUUUCGAACAAGCAUUUGCAGUAAUAUCCAGAAAUGGAAACCAGUAUGUGAAACUAAGCAGUGCUUUCAGAGUGAAGCAUAAGUACAUUGGUUGAGACACUGCAGAAAAUCAUUCAAGCUCUCGGAUAGCGUGAAUGGCCUUUCUUCUUCAGGAACUCAGGGAUGUCCACUGAACCACCUUCACUGAAAGAAGGCCGCCGAUUAAUUCCAAGACCAGUAUCUCCCUGUGUUAGUCGACCUGCCUGCAUUUUAAUGGAAAUCUAGUAUAAACAGGCAUAUGUGUGUGUGCAUGAGUGCGUGAGAGAGAGAGAGAGCAAGAGAGUUACCUGAGACCUUUCACCUUCUUGAUUUUUAAAUCCCGUGGCGAUUAGAGUUAUACUGACCUAAAAGAAAGACCACAGUAACGAUUGCCAUAAAAUUAGUGAUUCAUACUUAGGACCAUGAAUGAUGUUUACCAGGCAAUGUGUAAACAUGACCUUGUUUAUUACCUAAAUGAAGAACCAAGAGAGAAGAGCGGCCUAUAUGGUUUUCAUUGUUAAUUCAAGAGCUUGAAUUAAAAUCAUUGUGCACUCUAUCUAAAUUUGACCUUAUUCUCCAUACCUUAAAUAUCAAGAAGAAACGAAUGACUAAAUAAGCCAGGGUAGCAGAGAUGCAAUCCCAUUGCCAAUCUCAUUGCUGAGAUACUUCGCUAGGAAACACGAAUUAGAUACAUUAGAACUAGCCAAUAGCCACUGACAAUAAACACAAAGGCAAGGCAUCUCUUAUUGGACCAACAUGUUCCUGCUUUUCUGAAUGUUUAAAUAAUUUCAUUGUUAUUCUUGUAACAUAUGCUUUCAUUAUAGUUACAGUUAGACAGAAGGCGUAUGCAAAGUAAUGCGUACACAGUAAAGUUCACCAAUAAAGUCCAAAUUUUAGCCCUACUUCUCAGAAUGUUAAUUCAAUGAACGUAUUGGAGGAACGCAAGCACGAACAAGAGUACAUCUCUUUAUUUUGUGACAGUCAGAGUGCCUUGCAUCUUGUACGAAUCCUGCUUUUUACUCAAGAACGAAACACAUCCGGGUCCAGUAUCACUUCGUUCAUGAGAAAGUGGAACGGUAGAUAUAAAGAAAAUUUAUACCAAAGACAACAUAGCAGAUUUCAUGACAAAGGUAAUGAAUACUGAUAAGUUUGUUUGGUGUCAAUCCUCUUUUGGCCUGAUAGAGACGUGAGCAACAUGAAAAGUGCAAGGUAGAAAGAAUGGUGUAAGAUAUGAUUAUCCCAAUCAAAUCUUCAAGUGGGAGAUUGUGGUUGAUUAAUGCCAAGUAAAAAGUUGGUUGCAUUGAAAGCCACCAAAUUAGGCUAGUAGUUGCAAGUUGGAAACUUAUUAAAGAGAUAAUUGUUGUUUUAGUCUCUUACAUUAAUGGGUUAUUUAUAGUUUGGUCCCUGAAGCUCAACUAUUAAUAGCCUAACCAUUUUAGCAUUUAAGAUCAUCCCAAAAUCAGAGAAGUUAGAGAGUGUUGUUUCUCCUUUUAUCAAAAGAGAAUUUUCAUUAUUUUCUCCUUGUUAAAGUGAGAAAAGUUGUAAUUCCUAAUUUUCUUAUAGUGAAAUUCUUCUAUCCUUGCCCAUGGUGCUUUUCACCUAUAUUAAUUAGGGGGUUUUCCACGUAAAAUCUGUCUUCUUUAUUCUCGCUGUUAUUCUUUCACAAUUUCCCUCUACUCGACAACCGUAUUCGCAACAAGUGGUAUCAGACUAGGUUUGAAUGUGUAUGUCUACUAUUUACAUUCUCUGUGGUUGCCACUAAAAGGUGGAUCCUCCACAACAGAAAGUAAGUUAGAUUAUUACUUGCUCACCUAAGGUGUUGGGCACUAUUCACAUCAAAUAGUGAAAUAGUGGGAGCUAUUUGUUAUAGAAGCAAUGGAAACAAAAUUUGAGAUUGAAAGUUACAGAGUUUUAGAGAAUGUUGUUUCCAUUGCUUCUAUAAUAGAUAACUUCCACUAUUUCACUAUUUGAUGUAAAUAGUACCCAACUUCGAUGAGUAAGUAAUAAUCUAACUUAUGUUCUGUUGUGGAGGAUCCAUCUUUCAGUGGCAACCAUAGAGAAUGGGAUAAGUAGAUAUACACACCCAAACCUGGCUCUGAUACCAUUUGCUGCAAAUAAAACAAAAUUGCAACUGAUAAUUUGAGAGAAUAAAGAAGACAUAGGUUUUAUGUGAAAAAUUCCUAAUUAGUAUAAGGGGAAAAAACCACGACCAAGGAUAGAAGAAUUUCACUAUGAGGAAACUAAGAAUUACAACUUCUCUCACUUUAACAAGGAGAAAACAAUGAAAAUUCUCUCUUAAUAAAAGGAGAAACAACACUCUCUAACUUCUAUGGCCGUGGAAUGAUUUUCGGAUUGUGAUGAUCUUAAAUGCUAAAAUGGUUAGGCUAUUUAUAGUUGAACUUCAGGGAUCAAACUAUAAAUAACCCAUUAAUGUAAGAGGCUAAAACAAUAAUUACCCCUUUAAUAAUUUUCCAACUUGCAACUACUAGCCUAAUUUAGUGGCUUUUUUGAUGGCUUUCAAUGCAACCAACUUUGACUUGGCAUUAAUCAACAACAGUGCUGUAAUGGCAUACUCUUGAUUAGAACUACAGUGAAGUGGAUGACAUACUUAAAUUAUGGUGAUCAAACUAUAGGUAUGCAAAUGACUGUUACCAAGUCUAAAACUUUGGUAUCACUAAAUUAGAACAAGUAUGAACUUACUUGGCCACUAAGUGAUGGAUCUAUCACUGCUCCAAAUAUUAAGUUGGCAGCAGGAUCCACAAGAUCAUAUAUAACCUCAGCUGCAGCAUUGACCUACAGAAAAAAAAAAAAGAUCACAUGUCAAAUGAUGCAUACGAGAAGAGAAAUAAAGUAACUCACUUGUAUUGCUUGAGUGAGAGAGUUAGUAGCAAAGGAAUACCUCAAACAAUGUUAGAUCACUUCCACCAGUUAUGUUCCACACGAUUCCAGUGGCUCUUUCUAUACCAAGAUCUAACAAAGGUGACUGGAUUGCAUUUAGUGCAGCAUCUCUUGCCCUUGUUUUUCCUACAAACCAGACAAAGUAACUUGUCAAUAGAAAGGCAAUUUAAAUACAUAAUUACCAACAAAUAAACUUAAGUGUUGCAAUGGGAAGAGAUCACGACCAUAUGACAUGAAAAAUCAUCAAUAAGUACUGCCAAUAAAAGGAAAAAGGAAAGAAAAUGGAUAAUCUACAAUCACUUGUAUUUUGUUACAUGGCGAAAAGAAAAGAGGUAGAAACUUCAUGCAUUCAUAGUCGAAACUUUGGUGCAUUAUCUUCUGAGAAAAAAGAAAGUCCAAUCCGUACCGUCUUUAUCAUUUAUGAAACACAACUGAGAAACAUGUAACAUGAUGGUGGUCCAAGUUCUUUGCAUUAAGGUAUGAAUGAACCAUGCAAUAAGCUUGAGAAACCUCUAUUUUUUUCUCCUAUUUUCUCCCUACUUCGACAUUAUAAACGCUAAUGAUCUCUUUGAAUUACCAGUUGCAGUUCCUAUCCCCAUUAGUGAAGAACCUGCAUUUGCCAUUAUAGUUCGCACAUCAGCAAAGUCCACAUUCACUAGCCCCGGAAUCUGCAAUGAGGAGAUUCAAAAGCAAUUAGGAUCCAGAAGUAUGGUUCCAAGCUUCUAAUACUUCAACUUCUGUGCCGUCCAAAACAUUUCACAUAUGAAUGUUGGAUUGGGAGGUUUGCAUACCGUAAUUAUAUCAGAGAUACCACGAACACCUUGUCGAAGAAUAUCAUCAGCCAGAUUAAAUGCUUCUGUUACUGGAGUAGAUGGGGAAACUGCAGUCAACAACUUGUCGUUUGGAAUAACAAUUAGCGUGUCAACAUUUUCUCUUAGAGCUGCAAUUCCUUCCUGUGCUUGAACAGUCCUUCGUCUUCCUUCAAAAGAAAAAGGGGUAGUGGCAAUACCGACAGUUAAUAUACCCAUGGACUUCGCAAGCCCUGCAAUUACAGGAGCUCCCCCGGUUCCAGUUCCUCCGCCCAUUCCAGCCUGCAAAUGCAAACUUGAAAUCCUAUGUAAAAUGUUAAAGAAAGAUACUAGAAAACAAAUGAAAGCCAAGAUCCCAAGUGUUGGUCCUAACUUUGAACUAAUAUGAAUUUAUCACGACCCCAUGUGUAACAUUACCAGAAGAAACGAUUUUUCCAAUGGAAAAUUAGAGAACAAAUAGUUUUAUGAACUAAUAUGAAUCAUCAAAUAUAAGACAGAUCAGACUCUAGGAAACAGCAUGAUCAGAUAUACAACAAAAGUUUUAUGGAUUUUUACCUUAAAUGCUAGCAACACAUAUUGGGUGCUCACCUCAUAAUAACAACUUAAGCUAGGGUAAAAGUACCGUGAAGGCCCCUGUACUAAGAGUCAAAUUGCAUUUUGCUCCCUUUACUCAAAAAAUGGGCAAAUUAGUUCCUGUAUGUUAGAUUAAAGAGUAAACUACAUUCUGUUAAAAUUUUUAUCCAUUUCUACAAUUUGUUAAAAACUAGCAUGGCUAAUGGAAUAACCGGAUAGUUAUACGUGGCGUACUACUUGCACCUCAUGCUAACGUAUAGGGACCAAAUUUUAACAGUAAAAGUGGAUGGAAUUUUUAAUAAAAGGACGAGUUUGCUCUUUGAUCUAAUGUAUGGAGACUAGUUUGCCUAUUUUUUGAGUAGAGGGGGCAAAAUGCAAUUCGGCUCCUAGUAUAAGGGCUUCCAUGGUACUUUUACCGUUAAGCUAGCUCCCGGAGAAACAAUAUAUAAUUCUUACACACCUUGACACUAGACUUCGAGGAUAUUCAUUAACGGUUCAACUGAUUCAAUGGAUUUCAUGAAACAGGAAACCAUGUAUCAGCAGCCAAAUUGUAUUUAUUAUAUGAUUAAUGCAUAUCACUUUAAUUAGGACGAUAGGAAUAUUUUCUUCAAGGAAUAUCAUUCACUAGUCUCCACGAGGAGUCCGGUUAAAAGUAAUAAACAGAACAUAAAAUUGUUGCAUAGCAUGUUUUGCUCAAUUUUGCAUACUAUUACAAACAAAAGCAACAAAAUGGUGACGGUUUAGAUUCAAGAUACUCAUGAAAUCAGAUUAGUAACACUAACAGUAAUAAUCCAAACUCUACUCAAAUGAUUAAAACUGUAGAUUGGGAACUUACAGUUACAAAAACCAUAUCAGCACCAUAAAGAGCCUCUUCUAUUGACUCUUUGCUCUCUUUCGCAGCAUUCAUGCCAAUUUCUGGAUUCCCACCAGCACCAAGACCCCUAGUUAGCUCCUGACCGAUUUGCAAACGACGCUCGGGGAAGAUAGGUGACAUUUUCAUAGCUUGAACAUCAGUGUUAACGAUCCAAAACUCUACACCCUGCAUUUCGCUCUCUAUCAUACGAUUAACAGCAUUUGACCCACCACCACCAACACCGAUAACUUUGAUCUUAGCUUCAUUGUUAUUAUUUGAACCAUUCAUGUCUCCUAAGAUCUCGGUGACACUUCCACUAGAACUCUCUUUUCUUGGAUUGGUUAUCAUUUUGUUCCCUUCACCUCUAAGCAUUGGAACUUCAUGAUGUAGGUUUAGAAAACGGUCUUUGUUUUGAUACAGACUGACACCGUGAGAAUUGGUGGAACAUCUAAGAUGAGGCAUGAUAGACCUUAGGCCGGCACUUGAAAACCCAAUUUUCCCAUCACAGAGCUUAAGGCAGCUAAGUCUACCUGUAGGAUUUUCCAAUAACACUCUCCCUCCAAGAACAUUAAGUACCCCAAUUGGUCUAAUAUCAGAAGCAGUUGUCAUUUUAUAAGGCAGCACUAGGAAUCAAAUUUAUGAUACAAGCCAGAUAAUUUAGAAGCCUAAACAGCUUAAAUUUCAAGUUUGCAAUUUCAUUCAAUACCUGCAUAAAACCCACAAUUAAAUCAAAAUUAUAUUCCCAAACACCUAGUAAAACCCAUUAGCUAAAACACUAUCAGUGUCCAUUUUGCAGAUUGACCUUAAAACUAAAAGUAAUCACUAAAGGGCUAUAACUUUCUCAAAUGAAGAGCAUCAAAGUGAAGUAUAACAUCAAACAAGUUGCCAAUAUACAUUCAGAAAUUACACCAUAUGCACACGCACACUACCUAAAAUGCCUCAACUUUGAAGUUCACAGCAAACCAAAUUUACAAUUCAAAGUAAAAUGUUCAAAGAUAAAGUGUACAAACAAGACAAAAUGCAUCAAAAAUUUUAUCUGGGUAUUAAUUAAAAGGAGAAAAGAAAGAACCUGAAAGAGAUUCAGAGUGGACUAAACCAGAAACAGCAAAGUUCCCUCAGGGCAUUUGAGUGGCUGAAAAGCCCAAAGAUUGUGGAAAUGGGGGCAAGGUUUUUUCGUUUUUGGAUUUUAGCAAUGCGGUUUCCUUCGCCAGGUUGUUGUUAAAAAACAAAAUUACAAACCCCAACAUAAAGAAAAUAUCUAGUGAAGUAAAGAGAAGAAGGCCAUAAUUUAUGAGAAAUAUGAAUAGUGCCCUUAUCGGCCAGGGUUUAAGUGUAGCCCUUAAAAAUGGUUAAACCCUUUUUUGUUUUUGUCUUGAUUGUCACUGGUGGGACUGGGGGCUCGUCACAAACAAAAGUUCUUUUCUUUCUUUAGAUGGAAGAAAUGAAAGAAUAAGACGUUUCAUUUAAGUGGGGAUGAUAGCCAAAGUUUCCAUUUUUCAUUUUCUCACAAUCCAAACAAAGGUCCGAGUUUCCAAUAGUCGACAUCAAAGGCCUCUCUCCCAAUUCCCCACCCAAUCUUUGCUUUUUCCAUUUUCACUAGCCUGUUGUAAUAUUAGUUGUGGAUUUCAAGACCCUUUGUGAUAAGAUAAGAUUCUAGCCCACGAAUUGAUGCUUCCUUGCUCAAAUUAACCCCUCCAAAUAAACUUCGAUGAUAUUGAUUCCAUCAAUACCGCUUUAUUCGAUUUAAUCAAAUAAAUAAAAUUUAUAUCCAUUCAUAAAUCUCCUUUAUUCGAAUCAAUACUACUUCAAAUAUUUUAAAUCAAUCCAAUUACCUAACCCGUUCUAAAAAUUAUACAACAAUAUUUAAAUUAAAAAAAAUUUAACAUAUUCGUGAUCAAUUUGUGACUUAAUUCAAUCAGCUGAUUUAAUUUUAAUAAAAUAAAUUAUUAACAAUUUAUACGAAUUUUUAAAAAAAUUCAAUUCAAUCACCAAUUCAGUCUAGUCUAGCUGAUCCAACACGUGUUGAAUUCUAAACUUUCUGUAUACUUACAUUCUCAAAAAUUAGGAAUCAAACAUUAUCGAUGAAACAAUUUAUCGCCCCACGAAAAUCUUGGGGCCAAAUUUGAGACUAAGAUGAUAUACAAGCAACGACAUACCUUUCCAUGACUUGUGUGAACAUUAAAACCAUAUACAUACAUACAUAUAUAUAUCAUUAGUUUAGACUUCAGAAAUUUGAUUAUUCAUAAAAAUCAUAUUCCCAGAAGUCUUCUUUAUAAAUAUCCACCAACUAUCAUGUGUCUAAACGUGUUUUGAUGAUGUUCUUCAGCUUGAGGUUAUGUCAUUGGUUUUGAGAGCUUCCACCGUCAAUGCCUGCAUCAUAUUCCAUGGAUUUUUACAUUUUGUAGCAUAAGCAUUGCAAUUACUGAUCUAAGAUGAUGAGGGAAACAAAUAGAGAAGAGAAGGGUAAAUAUCCAUUUUCGUAACUGAACAAGGUUUAAAUUGGUACCUAAGGUUUGCUUCAAGGUUCAAUUCAGUAACUAAACUAUUUUGGCCCAAUUGAAUACCUGAACUUCGCUUUAUAGUUCAUAUUGGUCCAAAUAAGACAUUUAAUGUCGGUACCAAUUCAAACUAAAAAGCCAAGUUUAGGUGCCAAAUUGAAUCUUAAAGCCAAGUACCUAAUUGGAACAAAAAAAAACCUUAGGAACAUUGAAGCAAAGUUUAGGUACCUAAAUGUAUAUUUACCCAAAAAAGAAAUAUAACUAAAAUACUUGCCUUGAGCAUGCAUCUUCUUUUCUCGCUCAUAAUGGACCACUUAGAUUUCUUCUCAUUACCCUUAGUUUCUCUUUAACUUUCUGGGCUUUGGUUUGUGUUUUCAUUGACCAUUCCUCAAAGUACUGCAAGGACAAAAAAACACCAAAAAUAGGAUGAACAAAGCAAAAAAAUGAAUCUAGUAUGAUGCUUGUAGCCAUCAAUGCUUAUAUUUCCUACUCUUAUGCAUGUUGCCCCCAUCAUAAAGUUAUAUAACUUUUCCCCUUCUGAUCAUCUUUUUUUAUUCUCUACUUCAUAUGGUGCAUUGUAAAGCACAUGGAAUCAGUUGAAUGAUUUACCUGUUGCUUUCUUUUCCUCUCGAGUUCCACCUGUUGAAAUGCAAGUAAAAUGAGAUUGAGCUGCCAUAUUAUAUAUGAUAAAAGCUACAUCAAGAUCUGAAAUUUCGAUAAAUGCGAAAAGUAAUACGAAUGUUACCAAAGCCUGCUUGAGGUGAGUAUUCUCUUGUUUCAAUUGGUUCAAUUCUGCUUCUAGCUCAACUGUAUAUGCCUGUUAAAUAUAACCAACCUUAAGAAUUGAAGUAUUAUGCCUAUAUACUAAUGACCUACACAAUAGAAGAUUAUUUCUCUACCAGUAAAUAUAUAUGUAUAGUUGUAUACACAUGCAUAUAUAUGCAUUCACUUCCAGCAAACAGUAGUUGUUGGUAGUACCUGUUUUCUAGCUCUAGACCUUGCAGCUGAUUCCCUAUUCUUAAUCAUCCUGCGUUGCCUUCUCUCGACUACUUUUUCUAUUGGACCAUCAAUGAUUCUUUUCCUUCCUCGUAGUCCACCUAUCUCUAUCCCGAAUUGAGUGGCUGCAUUAUCAACUUGAUUGGUACAUAUCCCAUCUGGUGAUACCGGACUUAUUGGUGAUACCACUCCCAUUGCCUGUCCCGGUCCAAAGCCACCAGCUGCACCUACUUUUCCGUUAUAACAGAUGGCUGUUGACGGUGGGGCAGCAGCUGGCUGGUAGCCGCCACCCCCCUUACCAUCAUUAAGAUAGCGUGAUGAAUCACCAAGGACUCCACUUGGAGGCAUUGUUUGAUAUGUACUCCCACCAAAGCCACCACUGCCACCCAUUCCCAUAAUUGGCCUGGGAACAAAACUCGGACCCACUGCAGGGUUAUUGCUAGCCUGAUGCAACCCGAACUGUUGUUGAUGUUGCGAAUGCGGCGGUACUGCCGGUGGUACGCAUGGUUCCCGAACUACACCUGCCUUAACCAAGAAAUCCUCCAAGGUCAUUUCCCCAAAAGUCGGUUGUCGAGUACUAGUAUUCUCAGCAUUCUGCACAUUGCUAUUGUUACUCUGUCCUUGUCCUUGCUGCACUUUAUGUAUCUCAGACCAAACUUCAUCAACAGUUUUCCGACACAAUGGUGCCGGAAGUGAAAGCGAGCCUUGUCGAGGCAAGCUAGACUGCCUAGCUACACCUUUACUGCUUGCUGUUUCAUUCAAAGAUAAGUUAACAUGGUUGCUAACCUGUUCAUUUACACCAUUGUUGUGAUGAUUGUUAUUAAUGGAGUUUGUAGCUUGGUUUUCUUCAGCAUUCCAAAUGCUGGUAAGGAACUCGUCCAUGUUCAUCGACCCAAAGUUCUUCCCACAUAACGUGUGCUGGAACUCAUCGAGAGUGAGGGAAUAGAUUGAGGAUUGUCUUCCAAGGGCCGAUAAUGGAUGAUUCUUUAGCUGCUGGUCCACCUCCUUCAAUGUGGACUCGACCUCGCCAACCUCAGAGUCCUCAACCACCAUUUUUGCGAUGAAAUCUUGCUUUAAACUAUAAAAAACGAGAUUAUAAUCGAUAAAUAAGUAUUGUAGCAGAUUGUUAAAGGUGGGGCCAAAGCAUGAUUCUUGAAUAUCAACCCAACAUGUAAGCAAAAAGUAAAAUUUAAGGGAAAAAAAGGGUGCAUUAGACUUUCACUUAGAACAGUCAAGUAAAUAAAUUGAAGUACUAGUGGGAGUUUAAGUUCAGUAAAGUUGAUUUAACAAUGGAGGAAAUAGAAAAAUAAAUAAGAAAAAGAUAAAAUGGGGUAGUGCAUUUUUUUAAUGUAAAAGAUAAAAAGCUUCAAAAGUGGGUGAACAAUGGGAAUCUAUUAGCUUAUCUUGUUUCACUCCACCACCCUCCAUGAAUUGAAAUAAAAUAUUGUUUAUCAUGUCAGAAGAUAUAACAAGUGCUUUAUAUUUUCGAUAUUUAUUUAAAAUUUUUAUGUCAAUUUUCUUUGGAUACUAUAUCAAUUGUGAUUAGUUUAAUAUUAACUCACAUGUAGAAAAAUUAAUAAUUAUAAGUAAAUAUAAUUUUAAAACUAGAACAAUAAUGGUACCUACCAAUACAAAUUAUAAUCUAUGACCUAUCUAGGCAACAGGUCAGGCUACAAUUAAAAUAUUUAAAAUUAAUUAUAAAAUAUAUAUUAUUAAUUCGGACACCAAUUAAGCUAAAAAUAAUAUAAUUAAGCUAUAUUAGUAAUACUAAAGAUAUAUAAGUAAUUUAAUUUUUAAAAAAUUAAAAUUCCUAUUUUUCUUUCACCUUCCUAUUCAAUUUUUAUCAUUUUUAUUUAAACUAUUAGCAUUUUUAUUUCUUUAUUGAUAAUUAUUUGCAUUUCUCAAUUUCUUUAAUAAUAAUGAUUUUUAAAAGGUAAUUAUUACUUAACUAAUAAUUUCUAUGAUUUUUAGGUUAUUGUGACUUUUCACCUAAUCUUUUAAAAAAAAUUCACCCACAAUAAUUGAACUCAAAUCAAACCUUUUUAAGAUUCAAGCUGUGACUCCUAACCAUGAAUUCCUUUACACCUAAUUGAUUUCUAAAUUUUUCAUAAUGGUUAAAAGAUAAUAUUCAAUAUAAAAAUUAUACUUUAUAUAAAUAUAAAAUAUUUUAAAUACAAAGAAGAAAACAUAGCAGGAGCAGAACCAAGAAGAUGAUCUUUAUAUAGUGGAGCAAAGAUAUUGCUGGGCGAAGAAGGGAGCUACAAAGAAUCUUUCCUACUAUGGAAAAGAUGAUAACAUCCAUUGACUAAUCAAAUACCGCUAAAUUAAAAUUUAAUACUUUUUUUUUCCCUUCUCAUAAGAUGAUAAAAAAGGGCGAGCUACCGAACAAAAAUACCUACUAUACUAUUCAAUAAUUUCUUCUCUAAAGUGUAAAUAUGUAUUUGAACAAUUUACUUUUGGAUAUGUCUUACCAUUACAUCGACUUUUGGUGUUGCAAAGUCGAUGUAAUGAUAAGAUAAGUUUAAAUAUAAUAAGAUUAAUACAUAUGUAUAUAUUGUCACACGAUUGGGAAAAAAAAUGUUGCAUGAUAUAUAGAUAAUUGAACGACAUAUGGAUCAGGCAAAGUGAAGGAUACAUAAAGGAGCUAAAAGGCUCACCCUAAGUUAAAUUAAUGACUAAGUAAUUGAGUUGAUAAAUAAAUAGGGUGAUAGUAGUGUUUGAUGUAUGUAGUGACAAGUGAUUUUUGUUUACUAUUAAGAUAAAUCUUAUGUUCAUCAUGCCUUCUCUAACCCUUAUCAAAAUAUAAUAUAUAUGCAUGGAAUGGGACAAGCCAUAGAGAGACUAUAGCUUCAAAACAAGGAUUGAAAGAACACAUAAAGGGAUCCCUAUUAACGCAUUUCUUGAACCAUAAAAGAAGCAAAGCAAGAAACUGAAGAAGCAUGUAUGAACAUACCUGGUUUCAACAAAGGAAAGGAGAUAUGAUUGGAGCUGAAAAAAGAUGAGAAAAUAGGAGGGUUAUUGUGGUUGAAGAAAAUGGUUAGGCAGUGGGGAAUAUAAACAAAAACGUAGAGGGUGUAAAAGUGAGUUUAAAGUUUCCCGGCGCAGUGGGGUCCAAAAAAGUCAAUUGGAAUCGACCCAAAGGAAGGGAAAACUUAAUAAAAAUUGGGUAAUUGUGCUGUCUCCCCAGUUCCAAAAUGGUAUCGCCAUUGCUUUGAUCGACACGUUUCGGCCAUGUGGCUUGCUCUGCUUUGCUUUACUGCUCUUAGCUCAACGCGUGUGCUGCUGCUGCUGCCUCUUUUGCUCAUCUUAAGUCGACGGAAACUAAAACCCUUCUCCGUCAGCAACCUAAACCUCCCAUUCUACUACUUCUUAUUGGUAUUAAAAUAUUCCUAUUCUACAUCAAAUACAGGAAGAAUGCUUCUGAAACAAGAACAUAGGUUAAAUCCAUCAUCUUAUUAAUUUGAUUAGUCAAUCGGUACAUAUGAUUCUAAUCAAAUAAAUUAUAAAAAUUUACAAAAUUAGAAAAAAUUAAAAAUUUUAAAAUCGGAUUCAAUCAAUUUUUUAACGUGUUUCAUACUAGUUGCAAUUGUUUUUGUCUCUCAUCGGAGUCUGGACCAUAUUUCAACUUAUUUUCAAUUCAACCGGUUUGGUUCAAUUAUGAAAACACUAAAAAGAAUUGACCAUGAAGUUUAUUGUAAUCCGUGUUGUUUGGAUCGGGAUUGAUUGGGAAAUUAAUCUAAAAAUGACUUUAAACUAGUUAGGCCAAAAAUCGAUACGAAACCAGUUAAAAACUGGUUGAACUAAUUUUUUUUAAAAAUUUUAAAUUUUUUUAAUUAAUCGGUAUAAGAAACAUUGAUUAAAAUUGACAUAAAAUAAUUUAGAAUCGAACUCAAAAUCUCAUACUUAUAACAUAAUACUCUUGCUACUAACCGAAGUUGAUGACAUAAAUAUGCAGUUAUAAUAUUUGAAAUCAAUACUUUAAAAACUAAAAAAAAGACUAAAAAUGAUAAAAGAGACCAAAUCCACAAAACAAUUUUUUUGUUAUGCAUACAAAUAUAUAUAUUUUUAAUUAUUAUUUGACAAUAAUAUUGUGCCUCUGUAAUAAUCAAGAACACAAUUGAUAUUAUUUUAAAGUUAAUUGAAUAUGAUUUUUUAACUAAAUUUUAUAUACUACUUCCGUCGAUCAUAAUUUAAACAAGAUAAUAAUUUUUUCGUGAGUUACUUGUUCCUCGUAACCCUUUAAUCUACGAGCAUAUUUAAAAUACCAAUUAAUAUAAAUUGUCUUUUACAUACGAAAUAAUAUUUGUGAUGCAACUUUUUAUUAAUUAAAAAGGUAUCAAUGAGCCAUAUUUUCUUAUAUCAUUAGGUUAUACAUACAAACCCACCGAGGACAUAUUAAUGUAGAGAUAAUUGAUGAAAAUUGUAUAUUUCCAUAAGUAAAUAGUUUGGCUAUUUCAAUAAUUUAUCAAAUACGAUGAAAUUGAUGUACUUAGUACACAAAAACCUAAUAAAAAGUUAUUGACGUCCAUCAAGAACUCGUCGUAUACAAAGCAAAACCCUAUUUUGAUACAAAGUUACUUUUAUUUAUAAUUAUUCUUCGAUCCUUAAAUCAAACGAAAAUAUAUUUAGUCGUACUUGAAUAAUAUAUUCUAGAUUGUUACAAUAACAAUAAUACCAAUUGAGUUAUAUUAAUAUAUUUUAGUUUAUUGAUAAAUGAAUCUUAGCUCGAUUGGAAUGAGUAUUAUCCUUAAUAUAAGAGGAUGUGGGUUCAAGUGCAUUGAAGUGCAUUAUCCUCUUAUUUAUGGAUUAGGGAGGGACUAUUGAUAAUUCUAACAGUAAUAUUUAAUAUAUUUCCAAAAAAAAAAUUAAAAUGUAUUCAAAUGUGAUACUACAAAGUUAUGGUUAGACAUGUGAGGCACGUGCACUUUUAUUUUUGUGGGACAGUGUGAAAAGUGAAGGAUGAAAAUAUGGGUUUAGAAUUUAAAAGGACGACAACAUCAUGGGUGGGUUCGUUGGAAUAUGGGAAUGGGAUUGAUAAGGUCGCUGUUUUAGGGGGCUGCUUUUGGCUAUUUUUGCAUUCAUUUUAUGAUUUAAGUUUAAUUUUAUUGAAUUUGGAACAACAUUCAGAUAAAACUCUCUCAUUAAUGUCGACUUUAAGAUUUAAAUUUGAUUCAGAUGUUUAAGGAAGAAAUUUACUUCCACUUCUUUGAAAACAUAUAAGAUCGAACCACCCUCAAAUGCAUCCUUCAUCUGAAUAUAGUAGUAAGUAUGUUUGAAGCUAUCAACGAAUGUCGCACUGUUGAUAGCAAUGGUGAGACACAUUGUGCUUCUAAGAAAACAUAAAUUCGAACCUUAAAAGACGAUAUUAUUGGAAAGGAUAGUCACGAAUCCCGAACAUGAAUCGUAAAAUGAACAUGCUGGAUACCAAGAUGAAAAGUAUGUUUGAAGCGAGUAACCGAUUUAGUCUUUUUCUCUGAAUUAGUGUAUCGAUCAAUUCUUUAUUCAAUAGAUCCGGCCAAUCGGUCUAAUUCCAACAAUAUUGAGAAAAGGGAAUUUGCAGCUCUUUCAUUUCUUUUUGGCUCAUUUACAAAGAUGAAUGUAUAUAUUUUGCAAUGCUCCUAUCAGUAUACAUAUUCUAGAAUUUAAUAAAAGGUUUUCUAAAGUUCCGACACUUGCCCAAGAUUUGUUGAUGUUGCUUAAGUGGGAAGAGAGAGAAACAAAAGAGGCGGGGAAGAUCAAUGUUUUUUAAACCAGAUCAGUGGUCGAACUGAUUAGGUUAUUGGUUUGUUGGUUCAAUUAAAAAUUAUUAAAAUUUAAAAAUAUUAAAAAAUCCUGAUUCAACUGGCUCCUGAUCUAAUUGGUUCAAAGACACUUUCCAAAUGGUCCCUCGAUCAAUUCUCGAUCUAACUAAUUGAUUCGAUUCAAACAACACUGGAAGACAUGAUUAAGAGAAUAAUGGUGGGAAGUUCACAGUAUAGGGUGUCGAAAGUCUUAUUCUUUAAAGAUAGUCUCUUCUUACUUUUAAUGAGCGGGAGCUAGUUGUGCAUACUUUUCGACAAUUAUUCUUUUCUUGAUGUUUAUGGGAUGUGUCAGUGACUUUGCUAAAGCGUGUGCUAGUAUAUAUCCCUUGAGUCACGUGUCACCUCGUCGGAUCUUUAAAAUCUUUAUAGUGAUAAGUUAAUCUACCUUACAAGUGACAUAUGAGGUAUGGGAAGAUCUUUACUAUUGAUAAGGCAGAGGUAGGUGGUGUACAUUAUAGAAGCUAUGAAAACCUUUCUUUAUGGAAAAGAAAGAGAGAGAUUGCCAAAUUGGUUAUACCGAUAAUCCUUAAGGGCUGUGUUUGUUAAUAUCCCUUAUUGUGAUCUUUGAUUCUAUUAAACAACACUAGUUUUCUUGAAGAUCAUAGCUACAGAAAAUAUAACACUUUGCUUUAUUCCAAAAUGUGGGAUUAAGGGAAUAAGAUGGAUAAAUUACAAUGACCAUAAAUGAAGGAAAGUAUUAAUGAGAUGCCUUGCUUAUUUUAAGAGUAAAUUAUAUUCAAGGUUAAUUAACUAUUAAUAAGUUUGUGUCUUGGUCAUUUAAACUAUUCGAAAGUUUUUAUUUAAAUCAUUGGGAUGUUAAAAUUUUCUUUUUAAAAUCUGAGUAACGAGCUCCAACUAAUGAUUCAACAAUUCAUAGCGUGGAUCAAUAUCCAUUGAUGAAUAGAAGAACCUUAAAUUCAAGUUGAUCUAACGGUCAGUAUUAGAUAUUAGAGAAGAAAGUUGUUUGGGUUUGUAGAUUCGUGACUUUUAAAGUUAUUUCAUGAAGAAAAAAAAUUGUGAAAGAGAAGGAGAAGAAGAGCUUCCGAUUGAUGCAGACAACGCUAAUAGAGAAGGUCAUACAACAACAAUUUUAACAGCCCAUUGGCUUAAACGAAAACUUUUAAAUAGUUCAAUGACCAUAUUAUAACUUUUUGAAAUUAACCAAAAUGUAAAUUUACUAAUAAAUUACUGACAUUGGGUGUAAUUUACCCUUAUUUUAAUCUGCUUUGGGUGCAAAGGCCAAAACUUAUAAGAAAAUAAUUUUAAAAAAUGGCCAAAAUCUAUUGUCUGUAUUAAAUUCUGUAAGUUAAUAACUACAUCAUCUAAUUCAACCAUGUAGAAACUACAAAAGAACCAUGUAGGAACUGACAAACAAUCACAUUACAUACACACCAAUAUUUGGAUAUAAAGCUUCAUAAAUUAGAUCCUUAAAAAAGAAAAACCCUUCCCUGCAUGAAAUUAUAUAGGUCAACUCAAUCCAUCACCUUGGAACAUGUGGUACAAGCAUUAGAUGAUACCAUAGGAAUUGCAGUGGAAAGAUCAGAUAUAGGUAACAAGCAAUUAGCAAGUAAAGCAUUGCUAGUUGCAGUGAAAAAAGCUUCCCAAUAAUGUGGUGGAGGGAUACUAUUAACAGCUUCGAUAUUGAUCUCGAAAAGCUCUUCGUCUCCUUCUUCAUCUUCAUUUUUCAUCUUUGUUAUAAUCUGGGUUUCGCUGCUCUUUCCUCCAUGAUCUACAAUUUCAUCUUUGAUACUGAACGAAGCCAUUGAUUUCAGUGUUGAGUUUGUGAAAGUUUGGAGCAUCCAGCUUGUGUUUAAAUAUGUGGAGAUGGGGGGUUUGGGGUUAGUGGGGUUGAGGGAAUAGGUGGGAAGUAGAACGCUCUUCAACAAAUUCACAACAAAGUUUGGUCAAAACAAGCGACAAAAUCAAACAUCACUUUUCGGACUCUUGACGUUGCUUUUCCCAUGGGUAAAAGUACCUAUUUUAUCAUCUUUGUCAUAAAAAUAUCAAAGAGUGAAUUAAUCAUACGUUUAAAUUUUUAUUCACUUAUACGUGAUUAAUAGAAUAAUCAGAUACUAACACAUGGCAUGUCAUAAGUAAAAAUGCUGACGUACAAGAAUCAAUUUUUUUCGUAUAAUUAAACUACUUUUUAUAUUUGCUUUACAAUUUAUGAAGAUUAAUCAUUUCAAAAUUUAUAAUUAUCUCUUCCAAUAAUGUCAUGUUCAGGGCUUCAAUCUGAGCUCUCUACGAAAGUGUAACGUGACAUACUAUUAUAUCUGCUACCUGUUGAUAUAUUUAAGCUUCCUUUAACGACUACAUUUACCAUAGCAAUUUCUUUUGGGAUAAAUAUCAAUUUGAUAAAUGAACUUUGAUUUGGUGCAAUUAUACACAUGAAACUUAAACUGUGUUUCAUAUUUAUGUACGAAACUUUGAUUUUGAAUUCAAGUAUACAAAUUUAAAUAAAUGAAUACACAAGUUUAUUUUCAUAUUGGAUUAAUAUAAUUAUUUACCUAUGCAAUCUAUCAACAUAAAACCUUGCCAAUUCGAUAAUAUUGAAAAAUGAAUUAAAUCAAAAUUUUAUGUAUAAAAUUAUACAAAAUCAAACUUCUUAUAUAGUUUUAAUAUUUAUCUUUCUUUUUUUUUUGUCUCUAACCUCAUUUUUUUCACUAAAAGUAAAUAUUUAAAUUAUUUAACAUAUAAGGUGGAAAAAAUAUUUUUUUCCCAAAAAGAAAUUGUAUAAAAGAAAAAAUGUUGUGUCAAUUAAACUUGGGGGUUGGUCUCCUAAUUAACUGUUCUUAAUAUGACAUACAUGUAAUCCAUACUGAACAAAUAUUCUGUCUUUAUUUUUACAAAUCAGUUUUCCAAUAACUUCCUAAAUUAGGACUAAAAAACAAAGGAUGUUGGACUAAUUGGGAACUUUGUAAAGUCAAACUCAAAUCGUACUCUUCCAAGACAAUGGAUAUGUCAUUCUUAAGGAAAACUACACCUAUGUUACUAAAUCAGUAGUCAAUUUUUAUUUUAGUAGUUUAAUUUCAAAAAAUUAUUAAAUGGUCACUCAACCAUUUAAAAGUAUUUAUUCGAGUCGUUAAGCUAUUAAAAUGAUUAUUAUAUAGCAUUCUCUGUUUGUACCGUCUACGUCAGUCGAAAGCUCUCCUUCUUUUUUUUUCUUCUAUAGUUUGAUUUUUUUUCAUCAAAUAAUUUUAAUGUCACGAAUUUUCAAAUCAAAAUCUAAAUAACUUUCUUUUUUAUCUUCGAAAUUGACUAUUAAACUGAAUUGAACAUAAUGUAUAUUCUACUUGUUGACGGGCACUAAUUCAUCGUACCGGUCACUGUAUUGUUACUUGGAGUGGGCCGAGAGAUGUUGCAUCCACCACCGCUCCACAGCUGGCAUGCUCUAGUUCACAACCCACUCUGCUCCACCAUGGACCUGCUCUGCUCCGUUUCAAUUUAAUUUUUGCUACUUGUCUCAAAACAUUUUUAAUUUUUUAAACGCAAAUAAAUAUUUAAAUAUAUUUUUUUCACAAUUUACACGUAAUUCUUUAAAAAAAUUAAAUAUAAAACAAGUGAAUUUUUCUAUACCACAAUAUUACAUUUCUACUCUUUUAAUUAUUAAAAAUAUACAAGGAUAAAAUGUUCAUAUAGUGAACCCUAUGUGAUAGCCUGAUGGACGGGAUGUUCACUGCCCUCGGUGUGACCUGAAUUCAAGUUGCAUUAAUCAUAUUUGCUAUUUGGGAUUUACCUUGUUCUUGUAUUCCAAAAAAAAAUCAUAUAGUGUAACAAGAUGAAUACUCCAACCCGUCUCACCCCACAUCCACUUUCUAAAAAGAAUAAAAUCAGAAUCUCUAGAUGGUUUAAUGGAAUUGGAUCCAACUUGAAAUAAAUAAUUAUUAAUUUAAAAUAUUUUAAUAGAGUUAAUUAAUAAAUUUAAUCAUUACGAAGAUUAUUAUUGUCAUCAAUUAUACUGAUUAACUCUUAUUUUUUAAUCGUAUAAUAUUGUUUUAAAAUAAUAAAACUUGUCAAAGUGAAGUGAUGGGUUUGAGAAGUAGAGGCAGCCAACUGCUACAACACAAGAUAUUGAAUUUUUUUUUAAUCGAAAAGGGAAAGGAAACAAUUAGAAAAUAGAAAGCAACAUUUAAGAAACCCAAUUGUCUCAACAACCAAACUCAAAAACAGCAUUUCUUUGUUUAGUUCAAUGGUAGUUGUGUUUUUAAGGAAAAUUAAAGGAAUACAAACAAUUAAUUAUAAUUUUAUUUUAUUAUUAAAUCUUUUUUAAGACUAGAAUUAGUCCUUCAUGGUCUUAUUGGCCAACCAACAAAAUCAACAAUCAUAUAAUUUUAUACCCCGUACAUGCUUUUAAUUCAAUAAAAUCUUGAAAAAGACUUUAGCUUCAGCUUGGGCAUACCCCAUACAUGCUCUAGGACCCUUGGUGCUUAAAAAGUAUUGAAUAUUAAACCUAUAUAUCACCUAUAGUUAAAGGAUGAAAGGGAUUAUUUCCCUUGUGCAAAUUGAAAUAGUAAUACAUAUUUACACAUCCCACCAACAAUACGAAUGCAGGUAAAAGAAAAGGGUAAAUUUGCAACUUGCAGAUGUAAUCUACGCAUAUAGCAGUUUUGAAGGGCACUAUUAGAACUAGAAGUUAUGCUAUUAAGUUCCAAGCCUACUAUAGAAACCUGCAGUCCUACCUACGCGCUCUUAAAAUUCUAUACUUAAAGCAUGUAAUAUAUCCAAGAUUGAAAACCUGUGAAAGUAUUGUGACAACAUUAAGCACUAAUGCCCGGAGUAAAGGCCCUUUGAACUAAAAGUUAUGCUUUUCGGGCCCAUGCCUACCAUAGAAACCUGCAUGUCUUGCGUAUGUACUCUGAGAAUUCAAUACUUAAAAGGAGUCAUACAAAGUAUUCCAAGAUUCAGAACUUAUGAAUGCAACGUGACAACAUCCCAUGUUAGAAACGAGCAAGAUAUAUGAGGUUUAAGGAAGAAAACAGCAACAAUCAAGAGAAUUAGGUUUGUAAAACUAGUUAGAAAAAAGUCGGGACAGCAUAUAUAUACAUACAUAUAUAAAAGACUUUCUUGCAAGCGAAGUUACUAGACUUUCCUGCAAAUAAAAUUUUAUUUUUAACCCUAAACCCUGAAGAAAACUAAUAAUCUUUGCUGUCUAAAAUGAAUCUGUAGGUAACUCAAUCACAUAAGAAUUAGAGCUUACUAAAUUUGUAGGGAACUCAAUCACACAAGUCAGAAACAUUAAAAACUGGACUGAUAUGCAAAUCUGUUGGCAACUCAAUCACAUAAGCAUUAGAGUUUAUUUUCUUUAACAUCGUACAUGACCUAAACUUCUUUGGCUUCAAUUUGUGAUGAUUUCCCUAAAACUGAACUUAAUUUAUAUUUAGCCUCAUGAUGUAAAUACAAGCACUAAUGCACAGAGUCUAUAUUAUAAAAUGAUACCUCAAAUUCUUGGCUUCAAGUUUAAAAGCCUACUAAACUUCCACACCAAAAAACUGAUCUAAAUUUAUAUUUAGCCUGUAAAACCGUAAAAAGAGAUAAAAAUCAUCAUUAUUCUCAAGAGAAUCAAGGAACCAAAGUGAAAAACAAUCUUUCCUCAGGCCCAAAGAGAUGUUUUCUCCUUAUUGCCUUAAUAUGCUUUGCCAGGACGAGUAAAUAGUUUUAUUGAAGAGAAUGGCUAACACCAAGGAUCUCUCAGAACCCACCUCCAACAAUAUAGUACUUGAUAAAACAGAAUGAUCAGAGUAACUUGAUCAUGAAUUAUAUCUAAUAUUGAUGCAAAUAGAUAACAAUGAAGAAGGUAAAAUCCUAUUUUAAGCCCUCAAACAAGUUUAUCUUCUAUCUUAUGCGGACCCACGAUUCAGGUACGUGUUUCUACUCAAUAAAAUGAUCCAUUGGAUAGCUUGAUGAUGAAUUAAAUCUAAUAGUCAAGCGAACAGAUAACAAUGAAGAAGGAAAAAGCCUAUUUCAAGUCCUCAAACAAGUUUAUCUUCUAUCUUAAGUGGACUCUUGAUUAGGAUACAUAAUUGUACUCAAUAAAACAAAAUCAUCUGACUAGCUUGAUCAUUAAUGAAAUCAAAUAUUCACGCAAAUAGGUGACGAUGAAGAAGGUAAAAUCCCAUUUCAAGCCCUCAAACAAGUUUAUCUUAUCUUAUGUGGACCCAUGAUUCAAGCCCGUGUUUCUACUCAAUAAAACAGAACCAUCUGGAUAGCUUGAUAAUGAAUUAAAUCUAAUAGUCAUGUGGAGAGAUGACAAUGAAGAAGGAAAAAGCCUAUUUCAAGUCCUCAAACAACUACCUUAAGUGGAUUUGUGAUUAGGGUACAUGCUUGUACUCGAUAAAACAGAACCAUCCAAAUAGCUAGAUCAUGAAUAAAAUCAAAUAUUCAUGCAAAUAGAUGAUGAUGAAGAAGGUAAAUUCCCAUUUCAUGUCCUCAAACAAGUUUAUCUUCUUCUAUCUUACUCAGGCUCAGGAUUCGGGUAGCUUGAUCAUGAAUUAAAUCCAAAAUUCACGAAACGAAUAAUAAUGAAGAAGGUAAAAGCCUAUUUCAAGUCCUCAAACAAGUUUAUAUUUUUCUAUAUUAUUCGGACUUGGGAUUCGGGUUCAUGUCAAACACAAAUAUGCUCAAUAAUUUUUUCUAAAAAACUUAUGAUACAUUUGAAAGAUCAUAUAGAUAUCCUUGUCAAGUGAAAAAGAGCUCAAUACAAACCGAGUAAUAACUUUGAGCUAGAAAAGGCAAAUUUCUAUGAAAUUUCAGUUCAGUUCAACAUUGUAGAUAUCAAAAUUCAACC
Molecule: long non-coding RNA, 45877 nt
Filed under: Gossypium raimondii (Peruvian cotton)
Lineage: Eukaryota; Viridiplantae; Streptophyta; Magnoliopsida; Malvales; Malvaceae
Description: long non-coding RNA (GRAI_LNC001703)
Rfam family: MIR7502 microRNA precursor family (bases 29098-29246)
Source: RNAcentral